CUCUCUCUCCUCUAACCAUGGCGGCGGCAACAUCGUCUUCUCCGAUCUCCUUAACCGCUAAACCUUCUUCCAAAUCCCCUCUACCCAUUUCCAGAUUCUCCCUUCCCUUCUCCUUAACCCCACAGAAAGACUCCUCCCGUCUCCACCGUCCUCUCGCCAUCUCCGCCGUUCUCAACUCACCCGUCAAUGUCGCACCUCCUUCCCCUGAAAAAACCGACAAGAACAAGACUUUCGUCUCCCGCUACGCUCCCGACGAGCCCCGCAAGGGUGCUGAUAUCCUCGUCGAAGCCCUCGAGCGUCAAGGCGUCGAAACCGUCUUUGCUUAUCCCGGAGGUGCUUCCAUGGAGAUCCACCAAGCCUUGACUCGCUCCUCCACCAUCCGUAACGUCCUUCCCCGUCACGAACAAGGAGGAGUCUUCGCCGCCGAGGGUUACGCUCGUUCCUCCGGCAAACCGGGAAUCUGCAUAGCCACUUCGGGUCCCGGAGCUACCAACCUCGUCAGCGGGUUAGCAGACGCGAUGCUUGACAGUGUUCCUCUUGUCGCCAUUACAGGACAGGUCCCUCGCCGGAUGAUCGGUACUGACGCCUUCCAAGAGACGCCAAUCGUUGAGGUAACGAGGUCUAUUACGAAACAUAACUAUUUGGUGAUGGAUGUUGAUGACAUACCUAGGAUCGUUCAAGAAGCUUUCUUUCUAGCUACUUCCGGUAGACCCGGACCGGUUUUGGUUGAUGUUCCUAAGGAUAUUCAGCAGCAGCUUGCGAUUCCUAACUGGGAUCAACCUAUGCGCUUACCUGGCUACAUGUCUAGGUUGCCUCAGCCUCCGGAAGUUUCUCAGUUAGGUCAGAUCGUUAGGUUGAUCUCGGAGUCUAAGAGGCCUGUUUUGUACGUUGGUGGUGGAAGCUUGAACUCGAGUGAAGAACUGGGGAGAUUUGUCGAGCUUACUGGGAUCCCCGUUGCGAGUACUUUGAUGGGGCUUGGCUCUUAUCCUUGUAACGAUGAGUUGUCCCUGCAGAUGCUUGGCAUGCACGGGACUGUGUAUGCUAACUACGCUGUGGAGCAUAGUGAUUUGUUGCUGGCGUUUGGUGUUAGGUUUGAUGACCGUGUCACGGGAAAGCUCGAGGCUUUCGCUAGCAGGGCUAAAAUUGUGCACAUAGACAUUGAUUCUGCUGAGAUUGGGAAGAAUAAGACACCUCACGUGUCUGUGUGUGGUGAUGUAAAGCUGGCUUUGCAAGGGAUGAACAAGGUUCUUGAGAACCGGGCGGAGGAGCUCAAGCUUGAUUUCGGUGUUUGGAGGAGUGAGUUGAGCGAGCAGAAACAGAAGUUCCCUUUGAGCUUCAAAACGUUUGGAGAAGCCAUUCCUCCGCAGUACGCGAUUCAGAUCCUCGACGAGCUAACCGAAGGGAAGGCAAUUAUCAGUACUGGUGUUGGACAGCAUCAGAUGUGGGCGGCGCAGUUUUACAAGUACAGGAAGCCGAGACAGUGGCUGUCGUCAUCAGGCCUCGGAGCUAUGGGUUUUGGACUUCCUGCUGCGAUUGGAGCGUCUGUGGCGAACCCUGAUGCGAUUGUUGUGGAUAUUGACGGUGAUGGAAGCUUCAUAAUGAACGUUCAAGAGCUGGCCACAAUCCGUGUAGAGAAUCUUCCUGUGAAGAUACUCUUGUUAAACAACCAGCAUCUUGGGAUGGUCAUGCAAUGGGAAGAUCGGUUCUACAAAGCUAACAGAGCUCACACUUAUCUCGGGGACCCGGCAAGGGAGAACGAGAUCUUCCCUAACAUGCUGCAGUUUGCAGGAGCUUGCGGGAUUCCAGCUGCGAGAGUGACGAAGAAAGAAGAACUCCGAGAAGCUAUUCAGACAAUGCUGGAUACACCAGGACCAUACCUGUUGGAUGUGAUAUGUCCGCACCAAGAACAUGUGUUACCGAUGAUCCCAAGUGGUGGCACUUUCAAAGAUGUAAUAACAGAAGGGGAUGGUCGCACUAAGUACUGAGAGAUGAAGCUGGUGAUCGAUCAUAUGGUAAAAGACUUAGUUUCAGUUUCCAGUUUCUUUUGUGUGGUAAUUUGGGUUUGUCAGUUGUUGUACUACUUUUGGUUGUUCCCAGACGUACUCGCUGUUGUUGUUUUGUUUCCUUUUUCUUUUAUAUAUAAAUAAACUGCUUGGGUUUUUUUUCAUAUGUUUGGGACUCAAUGCAAGGAAUGCUACUAGACUGCGAUUAUCUACUAAUCUUGCUAGGAAAUGGCACUUUACAUUGGGUGUGAUUGUCAUAUUUUCAGUUUUUUAGCUACGAGAACGAUGAAAGUUCAGAUUUCACACACUAUAUAUAUGUUUGAUCGAUGUUGUAUGCUCUUAAACAUUUCUAUCUUUCCUUUUCUCAUAUUAUCCAUCACACUCUUUAAUAUGAUGUAAAUUGCUUCUUCUCUAAGCUACACCAGUCGUAAGCAACAUACGAAGAAGCUUUUUGAAAACAUCUUUUAUUCUCUCAUCACACUUUGUGUAUGUGUCAAUAACAUGUCAACUUCAUCUGUGUUGAAAUAAACAUUCGGUUCAUUGUAACAACAAUAAUUUCUGUCUUUUUUUUUUAUCAACACAAUAAUUUUCUGUCUUACACCUAAGUAACACAUGUUCUUUCGUUCUCCCCAUUUUUAUUUAAGUGCGACACUUCAAACCCAUUAACAGAUCAAACAACCAAAUCACAUACAGCAGCUUCACAUCAGAUCAACUUUAACACACCCCUAUGUCAUCGCAUUUCAUUCUCUCCCUGCUUAAAUGGUCACACUCUUAUACAAACCAUAAGCCUAGUGAUAUUUAUUAUUCCAGCGUCUUAUAGCCGCUGUCAAAUAUCAACCUACCAUACUAUUACAUCAUCAGAGAUAUUCCCGGUUUCUCUCUAAGCUUGACAAGAACACGUGAGACACAAUUCCGAACUCGGCUUUAGCAUUCUCUUAAAAGAUGGUAUGAUCAGGACCCUUGCCUCAUACCAACAUCUUGUGAUCACAGCUUCUUAAUAUCAAGACUUUUGUAGACGAUCAUCAUCCGAUUAUCACAAUGCCUUAUUUCCAAACUUGCGAUCAUAAUCAUAUUGACCCUUUACUGUCACAACGUCCUUUUGUAUCGAAAUUUAUUCCGAGCAAAACACUUACUUGUCCAAGAAAAAUAAGCUCCACAAUAAAAUUCUUUUGAGUCUUCCGACUCAUAUAACAUGAUCUAGCGAAAAUUUUAGAUUACAACCAGUCUUUAACUCCUUAAUCCGAAACUCAGCCUGUCGAAGACCAAAUCCAAAACCAAACGCCUCCAAGCUUUGAGCACUUUAUGAGUCUAUUAUGAUUGUCAUGUGAUUGAUCCCAUACCACAACAACCCAUGUCUUCUUAAUUUGAAACAAAAACUUACUAUGCCCCUCCAUGAGGACUUCUCCUCACAUCAGCUUCUUGAGAGUUUAUAUGGAUAUUCAAUCUUGUUCUGAACACUCAUGAUAGUUGCGAACCUCCCUUUCUGACAGCUGCAUCCAGUGAAUGGUGAACCUUAUGCACCACCAACCAUGAUGCAUCACAAAGCCUGAAUAAUUGCAUCACACACUGCCAUCACAUCUAUCUUAAUAUCUCUGUCGAUUAUGUCUGUUUCAAUAUGAGAACAAUAUUAAAAACAAACUCUCACACUAGAUGUUGGAAGUGAUCAUAAAUAAUAUAUAAUAAUAUAAAUAUACAUACCAACCCAGUCAUCACAAAUUGGUUUUAGUUAAAAACUUAUCGAACUUAAUAUGGUAUCAUAUCCCUAUCUACGCAAUCCAAUCCGAUCCGCAAUCCAACCCGAUCCGCAAUCCAAAGUUGGUCCAUCUAUAUUUUUCCGAAAGUUAAAAGAGCCAUCAAAUCUCGAGUGUGCUUACUAGAGACAAAGUCUCCCAAAUUGAAAGUUGAAAGUAAACAUAAAUAAUAUAUAAGAUAUAUGGGGUCAAUCCACUUAUCAAUUGGUUUCAGGUUCUAAGCUCAUCUAAUAUCAUAAACAACACAUGAGAGUCAGUCUACUCCUCCUUUACAUCCAACGACAUAGUCAAAACUUCUAAAAAAUCCCUAUUUUAUGUUAAAUAAUUAGUUUGAAUAAUGUAUAUUACUAUUAUUUGAAUUAAUUUUUUUGCAUUCGAAAAGUAAUUUUAAUUGUCAUGUUCUCCAUGAUUUUAUGUAAUUUUCGUAUUAAAUUUUUCACUUUAAAAGUUAAAUUGGUUAAAGUCAUUGGUACCCUUAAUGAAUAAAUUGGUUAAAGUCAUUGGUACCCUUAAUGAAUAAUUAUAUGGAUAUAUUAUAGUUAUAUAUUUAGUUAUAAAUAUUUAUAAUAAUAAAUUAAUCAAAAUAAGUAAAUAUCAUGAUAUCCUACGAAACAUACAUCAAUAAGUUUAUUCAAAAAUCAAAAGAUCAACAACUCUGAAUUCUCGUGAUAAUGCCAAACUUUUUUCCAUGAUCCUACCAUGUAUCCACCAAGGAAUUCCUCAAGCAAUAUACGACUGAUUACCAUUAAUUAAUCGAAAAUAAAUUCACAUGCCAUUCAUCAGAAAUGUAUCCAUGGAACUUCAUACUUCUCGGUCACAUCACUAAUUCAACUCUUUUAUUACUUCACUUACAAGUUCUCUUCCUCAUCUCCUUCAGAUAAUAUACUCCUAGGCUCCUAGCCACCAAUCCAUAAUCUACCCGAAACAAGAUCAGAUUUACAAGAUCUCUAGCAUGAAUCCUCUUUGGUACCAUUUGAAAUUUUGGAUUUUCAGGAUAUAUUUAUAUGUUUCAUCAAUGUGAUAUGUAAAUGCGUAAACUAAAGAAGACACAUAGUUUUUUCAUGAGGUUUUGUUCUCUCUACAUCCCCUAGACCUAGUCUAAAAAUAAAUAUACCAGACAAAUAAAACAAAUACAGUUUCAAAUGGGAUCAAAGUGUUAAGAAACGUUUUAGGGAGCUGUUUAUGCCACCUAUGCGCUAUGCCCUAUAAAACUGUGAAGAUUACUUUUACCAAAAAAAAAAAAAAAACUGAGAGUCUGUAUGGGGUAUUUUCGUAAACAAACAAAACCCUCACAAGCCUCGUUUUAUAAAAACGAUUCACGUUCACAAACUCAUUCAUCAUCUCUCUCUCCUCUAACCAUGGCGGCGGCAACAUCGUCUUCUCCGAUCUCCUUAACCGCUAAACCUUCUUCCAAAUCCCCUCUACCCAUUUCCAGAUUCUCCCUUCCCUUCUCCUUAACCCCACAGAAAGACUCCUCCCGUCUCCACCGUCCUCUCGCCAUCUCCGCCGUUCUCAACUCACCCGUCAAUGUCGCACCUCCUUCCCCUGAAAAAACCGACAAGAACAAGACUUUCGUCUCCCGCUACGCUCCCGACGAGCCCCGCAAGGGUGCUGAUAUCCUCGUCGAAGCCCUCGAGCGUCAAGGCGUCGAAACCGUCUUUGCUUAUCCCGGAGGUGCUUCCAUGGAGAUCCACCAAGCCUUGACUCGCUCCUCCACCAUCCGUAACGUCCUUCCCCGUCACGAACAAGGAGGAGUCUUCGCCGCCGAGGGUUACGCUCGUUCCUCCGGCAAACCGGGAAUCUGCAUAGCCACUUCGGGUCCCGGAGCUACCAACCUCGUCAGCGGGUUAGCAGACGCGAUGCUUGACAGUGUUCCUCUUGUCGCCAUUACAGGACAGGUCCCUCGCCGGAUGAUCGGUACUGACGCCUUCCAAGAGACACCAAUCGUUGAGGUAACGAGGUCUAUUACGAAACAUAACUAUUUGGUGAUGGAUGUUGAUGACAUACCUAGGAUCGUUCAAGAAGCUUUCUUUCUAGCUACUUCCGGUAGACCCGGACCGGUUUUGGUUGAUGUUCCUAAGGAUAUUCAGCAGCAGCUUGCGAUUCCUAACUGGGAUCAACCUAUGCGCUUACCUGGCUACAUGUCUAGGUUGCCUCAGCCUCCGGAAGUUUCUCAGUUAGGUCAGAUCGUUAGGUUGAUCUCGGAGUCUAAGAGGCCUGUUUUGUACGUUGGUGGUGGAAGCUUGAACUCGAGUGAAGAACUGGGGAGAUUUGUCGAGCUUACUGGGAUCCCCGUUGCGAGUACUUUGAUGGGGCUUGGCUCUUAUCCUUGUAACGAUGAGUUGUCCCUGCAGAUGCUUGGCAUGCACGGGACUGUGUAUGCUAACUACGCUGUGGAGCAUAGUGAUUUGUUGCUGGCGUUUGGUGUUAGGUUUGAUGACCGUGUCACGGGAAAGCUCGAGGCUUUCGCUAGCAGGGCUAAAAUUGUGCACAUAGACAUUGAUUCUGCUGAGAUUGGGAAGAAUAAGACACCUCACGUGUCUGUGUGUGGUGAUGUAAAGCUGGCUUUGCAAGGGAUGAACAAGGUUCUUGAGAACCGGGCGGAGGAGCUCAAGCUUGAUUUCGGUGUUUGGAGGAGUGAGUUGAGCGAGCAGAAACAGAAGUUCCCUUUGAGCUUCAAAACGUUUGGAGAAGCCAUUCCUCCGCAGUACGCGAUUCAGAUCCUCGACGAGCUAACCGAAGGGAAGGCAAUUAUCAGUACUGGUGUUGGACAGCAUCAGAUGUGGGCGGCGCAGUUUUACAAGUACAGGAAGCCGAGACAGUGGCUGUCGUCAUCAGGCCUCGGAGCUAUGGGUUUUGGACUUCCUGCUGCGAUUGGAGCGUCUGUGGCGAACCCUGAUGCGAUUGUUGUGGAUAUUGACGGUGAUGGAAGCUUCAUAAUGAACGUUCAAGAGCUGGCCACAAUCCGUGUAGAGAAUCUUCCUGUGAAGAUACUCUUGUUAAACAACCAGCAUCUUGGGAUGGUCAUGCAAUGGGAAGAUCGGUUCUACAAAGCUAACAGAGCUCACACUUAUCUCGGGGACCCGGCAAGGGAGAACGAGAUCUUCCCUAACAUGCUGCAGUUUGCAGGAGCUUGCGGGAUUCCAGCUGCGAGAGUGACGAAGAAAGAAGAACUCCGAGAAGCUAUUCAGACAAUGCUGGAUACACCAGGACCAUACCUGUUGGAUGUGAUAUGUCCGCACCAAGAACAUGUGUUACCGAUGAUCCCAAGUGGUGGCACUUUCAAAGAUGUAAUAACAGAAGGGGAUGGUCGCACUAAGUACUGAGAGAUGAAGCUGGUGAUCGAUCAUAUGGUAAAAGACUUAGUUUCAGUUUCCAGUUUCUUUUGUGUGGUAAUUUGGGUUUGUCAGUUGUUGUACUACUUUUGGUUGUUCCCAGACGUACUCGCUGUUGUUGUUUUGUUUCCUUUUUCUUUUAUAUAUAAAUAAACUGCUUGGGUUUUUUUUCAUAUGUUUGGGACUCAAUGCAAGGAAUGCUACUAGACUGCGAUUAUCUACUAAUCUUGCUAGGAAAUGGCACUUUACAUUGGGUGUGAUUGUCAUAUUUUCAGUUUUUUAGCUACGAGAACGAUGAAAGUUCAGAUUUCACACACUAUAUAUAUGUUUGAUCGAUGUUGUAUGCUCUUAAACAUUUCUAUCUUUCCUUUUCUCAUAUUAUCCAUCACACUCUUUAAUAUGAUGUAAAUUGCUUCUUCUCUAAGCUACACCAGUCGUAAGCAACAUACGAAGAAGCUUUUUGAAAACAUCUUUUAUUCUCUCAUCACACUUUGUGUAUGUGUCAAUAACAUGUCAACUUCAUCUGUGUUGAAAUAAACAUUCGGUUCAUUGUAACAACAAUAAUUUCUGUCUUUUUUUUUUAUCAACACAAUAAUUUUCUGUCUUACACCUAAGUAACACAUGUUCUUUCGUUCUCCCCAUUUUUAUUUAAGUGCGACACUUCAAACCCAUUAACAGAUCAAACAACCAAAUCACAUACAGCAGCUUCACAUCAGAUCAACUUUAACACACCCCUAUGUCAUCGCAUUUCAUUCUCUCCCUGCUUAAAUGGUCACACUCUUAUACAAACCAUAAGCCUAGUGAUAUUUAUUAUUCCAGCGUCUUAUAGCCGCUGUCAAAUAUCAACCUACCAUACUAUUACAUCAUCAGAGAUAUUCCCGGUUUCUCUCUAAGCUUGACAAGAACACGUGAGACACAAUUCCGAACUCGGCUUUAGCAUUCUCUUAAAAGAUGGUAUGAUCAGGACCCUUGCCUCAUACCAACAUCUUGUGAUCACAGCUUCUUAAUAUCAAGACUUUUGUAGACGAUCAUCAUCCGAUUAUCACAAUGCCUUAUUUCCAAACUUGCGAUCAUAAUCAUAUUGACCCUUUACUGUCACAACGUCCUUUUGUAUCGAAAUUUAUUCCGAGCAAAACACUUACUUGUCCAAGAAAAAUAAGCUCCACAAUAAAAUUCUUUUGAGUCUUCCGACUCAUAUAACAUGAUCUAGCGAAAAUUUUAGAUUACAACCAGUCUUUAACUCCUUAAUCCGAAACUCAGCCUGUCGAAGACCAAAUCCAAAACCAAACGCCUCCAAGCUUUGAGCACUUUAUGAGUCUAUUAUGAUUGUCAUGUGAUUGAUCCCAUACCACAACAACCCAUGUCUUCUUAAUUUGAAACAAAAACUUACUAUGCCCCUCCAUGAGGACUUCUCCUCACAUCAGCUUCUUGAGAGUUUAUAUGGAUAUUCAAUCUUGUUCUGAACACUCAUGAUAGUUGCGAACCUCCCUUUCUGACAGCUGCAUCCAGUGAAUGGUGAACCUUAUGCACCACCAACCAUGAUGCAUCACAAAGCCUGAAUAAUUGCAUCACACACUGCCAUCACAUCUAUCUUAAUAUCUCUGUCGAUUAUGUCUGUUUCAAUAUGAGAACAAUAUUAAAAACAAACUCUCACACUAGAUGUUGGAAGUGAUCAUAAAUAAUAUAUAAUAAUAUAAAUAUACAUACCAACCCAGUCAUCACAAAUUGGUUUUAGUUAAAAACUUAUCGAACUUAAUAUGGUAUCAUAUCCCUAUCUACGCAAUCCAAUCCGAUCCGCAAUCCAACCCGAUCCGCAAUCCAAAGUUGGUCCAUCUAUAUUUUUCCGAAAGUUAAAAGAGCCAUCAAAUCUCGAGUGUGCUUACUAGAGACAAAGUCUCCCAAAUUGAAAGUUGAAAGUAAACAUAAAUAAUAUAUAAGAUAUAUGGGGUCAAUCCACUUAUCAAUUGGUUUCAGGUUCUAAGCUCAUCUAAUAUCAUAAACAACACAUGAGAGUCAGUCUACUCCUCCUUUACAUCCAACGACAUAGUCAAAACUUCUAAAAAAUCCCUAUUUUAUGUUAAAUAAUUAGUUUGAAUAAUGUAUAUUACUAUUAUUUGAAUUAAUUUUUUUGCAUUCGAAAAGUAAUUUUAAUUGUCAUGUUCUCCAUGAUUUUAUGUAAUUUUCGUAUUAAAUUUUUCACUUUAAAAGUUAAAUUGGUUAAAGUCAUUGGUACCCUUAAUGAAUAAAUUGGUUAAAGUCAUUGGUACCCUUAAUGAAUAAUUAUAUGGAUAUAUUAUAGUUAUAUAUUUAGUUAUAAAUAUUUAUAAUAAUAAAUUAAUCAAAAUAAGUAAAUAUCAUGAUAUCCUACGAAACAUACAUCAAUAAGUUUAUUCAAAAAUCAAAAGAUCAACAACUCUGAAUUCUCGUGAUAAUGCCAAACUUUUUUCCAUGAUCCUACCAUGUAUCCACCAAGGAAUUCCUCAAGCAAUAUACGACUGAUUACCAUUAAUUAAUCGAAAAUAAAUUCACAUGCCAUUCAUCAGAAAUGUAUCCAUGGAACUUCAUACUUCUCGGUCACAUCACUAAUUCAACUCUUUUAUUACUUCACUUACAAGUUCUCUUCCUCAUCUCCUUCAGAUAAUAUACUCCUAGGCUCCUAGCCACCAAUCCAUAAUCUACCCGAAACAAGAUCAGAUUUACAAGAUCUCUAGCAUGAAUCCUCUUUGGUACCAUUUGAAAUUUUGGAUUUUCAGGAUAUAUUUAUAUGUUUCAUCAAUGUGAUAUGUAAAUGCGUAAACUAAAGAAGACACAUAGUUUUUUCAUGAGGUUUUGUUCUCUCUACAUCCCCUAGACCUAGUCUAAAAAUAAAUAUACCAGACAAAUAAAACAAAUACAGUUUCAAAUGGGAUCAAAGUGUUAAGAAACGUUUUAGGGAGCUGUUUAUGCCACCUAUGCGCUAUGCCCUAUAAAACUGUGAAGAUUACUUUUACCAAAAAAAAAAAAAAAACUGUGACGAUUACCUUUUGAACUGCAGAAAUACUUACUAAUAAUAAAUAAUAUAUAUAUAAUUUAUUAUUCAUAAAUUAUAAUAAUCAUCUUAUAUGUUAAAUGAGAAGUCACUUACGUGACUUUUCCUUAUGUGUCACACUUACUUGUGAAGUCUUAUGAACUUUUUAAAAUUUAAUUGGUUGAUGAUUUUUAAUUUUUAUUUAUUGUAAUAAUUAAGAUCUAAAAAUUUAAGGUAAGUGUAGAAUCAAUAUACAUUACUUUCCAAAUAAUGUAAAAAAUAUUUCAAAUCAUAACUUAUGGUAACUAAUUUUCGAAGUUAGAGAAAGGCUAAUAAUGUUUGAUCAAUUAUUUUUGAUAUUUAUAAACUAUAUAAUAUAGCGAACAAAAAAAACUAUCUAAAAAUAAAUAUAAUAAUUUUAUAUUUUACAUAAUGAAUUAUAUUCAUAUAUUCAUAUAUAAUGACUUUAAAAUCAUAUCAAGUCCACACAUGCUUUAUAAAUCAUUAAUAAUGUUUUUAAAGACUUAAAACUUAUUUAUAAUCUAUUAAAAAAUCAAUUUAUCCCAAUUUUAAAAUAAUUUAUAAAAUUAUAAAAAUCAUUUAUAAAAAUGUAAAUUAUUUAUUUAACAAGAAGUCACUUAAGUUACACUUUCUUAUGUGUCUACUGUCCAUCAUUGGUGAAGUCUUAAACAUUUCUUAUAAUUUAGUUGGUCGAUGAUUUCUAAUUUUUAUUUCAUUUAUUUUGAUUUAAAAAAUAUAUAUUACGUCCAGAACAAAUUAAUAUCACUUUCCAAAUAAUCGAAUAAUAUUACAAAUGGUGAUUUAUGGUAACUAAUUAUUGAAAUUAUAGAAAGAGUUAUGAUGUUUGAUUAAUUAUUUUUAUAUUUAUAAACUAUAUAAUUAAAAAAUAUAUAUAAAUGAAUAUAAUAAUUUUAUAUUUUACAUCAAAAAUUAUAUUCAUAUAUAAGUGUAUAAUAACUAUAGUGUAUUAUAUAAUUCAUACAAGCCCUAUAAAUCAUUUAUAUAAAUUCAAUAACAUUUAUAAAAUUAAUGAUGAUGGUUUAAAUAUUAUUUUAUCAGAAAAUUUAAAUAAUUUAUAAGAACUUAUAAAUUAUUUAUUAGAGAAAAUUAGAAAAAUUAAAAAACAAUUAGAAAUUUACAAUAGAAAAAUGUUAUGUAUUCAAUUAAAAAUAAAAUAAAAUAAAUGUGAUAAUUAGAUAUCAAUAUAAAUGUGUGAUUAUUGCAAUGCACACUGAAGAAUAUAUAUGUUAAUCGUUCAAUAUAUAAGCUUUAAAGACAUAUGAUAAUUUUGCAAUUAUAAAAUAUUUCGUGUUUAAGUCAAAGAGACCAUAAAUAUAGUAGAUAAGAUAAUGUGAUGAUUGAAAAAAGAUUUUAAAAUGGAUUUUUUGGUUCAAUGAUUUUUUUUUUUUGAUGAAAUUUCAAAUUUAUUGAUCAAUCAUGAAAGAGUUUCAUUUACAAAAGAAUCAGGCUACGAAGAAUAUACUGUAAAGAAUAAUGUGUGAUUAUAUGGAAUUCCAUCUUCUAAACUAGUUGGUGAGCGGAAACCAUCUCUGCAGAAGUCCAGCGUUUCGAUGCUGCGGACCAUACUUCAGUGACAUGAUUCUGUUCUUCAUCGACCUAUCAAUAACCUUUCGCAGCUGGUCCAUGGAUGUCCAUUUACCCUGGUGCCGCCUCGUAUUUCUUUCCCUCCAUACAUAGUAAAUGACUGUUUGAAAGAUCAUCUUGAUUAGGAUGGAAUCAAGACGAUUCAACCUGUUUCGCUGGAUCGCAUUGAGUGUGAGGGUCCAGUCGGAGUUUGUCCUCUGGCCAAAGAAGCCUCUCACCAGACUUUCCCAAACUGUGAAUGAGUAAGGACAAGCAAAAAAGAGAUGAUCUAUUGUCUCGUCCCACUCUCCACAGAGUCCACAACCCUGCGUGAUACCCUAACUCCUCGUCCUGUCUCUAGUAGACAGCAUGUUCUGUACUGCUAGCCAAGUGAUAAAUGCGUACCUAGGAACACUCUGCGUGAACCAAACGACCCUGCACCAUUCAACCUUCGGCUUCUUGAUCCUUAUCUGCUCCCAAGUCUUUGCAGUACAGAACUUAUCCUGGAAAUCAUCCUCUCCUUGCUUCCCCAGAACCAGAUCAGUUCCCCUAUCUGCAUCAGGGACAGGCUCUGUAAGAAUCUGAUUAUAUAACACGUGAAACCUUCUGCUGCGCUUGUUUCUCAUACUCCAGCCAUAACCUGAACCCGCAUCACACACCAGUGCUUUUCGAGGAAGACCCAAAUACGUAGUGCCAAUGGCUCCUGUGACUUCGAUUAAUUUCCUCAUACCCAUCUAAUUAUCGAACCAGAAAUGUAUAGUUUAUCCAUCUCGAACCUCUAUUUUCAUGAACUCAUAGGCCAUGUCUGUAACACCCCCGAACCGUCCCUUGGCAUAGGUCAACCCACCGGCCAACAAUCAAACAAGAACAUGACCGACGGACGACCCACACCAAGGGUUGGAGAUGAAAGGCCAACCGGCCAGCCAACAAUCAAACAAGAACAUGACUGACCGUCCAACCCAACACCAUGGUCCGGGAGCGCUACGUGACGGGUUAGAGACGAUCCGGCCAGAGUCACAAAAUUUACUCCACGACCUCGACCAGUUCGUCCACUAACACGUCCCGCUGCGUCAAGGCACAAGGCUUUGCAACCUGUACCUAGAGUUAGCGUUUUCCGUUAGAUCGAGGCCUAAAGCUUUUCAACCCGUACCACGACCUAACGUUGUGUUAGACCCGACUAGUCAAAUAUCAGAGUACUCAUGUAGCACAUAUAAAACAAUUACUUUUAUUGAUUUAAGAAAUAUUCAUACAUUGAAUAAUUCCAGACUGGGCCCGGCCUAAUGCCAAAUCGAGUCAACAUAACACAAUUCACAAUACCGUUUACAAAAGGCAUGAAAAUCUACACCGGCGGUCCUAACGUCCAGCACCAAGCUAUCCGAUCAUCCUUACCUAAAGCGACCUGCAAAAAGGACAACGGAGUUGGAUGAGUAACCUAAUGUUACUCAGUGAGCUGGCGGCCUCUACCCGCAACCUAGACUCUACCCAGACAACCCAAAAUAACAAUCAAUCUAGCCCUAGCAUGCAAUAAAAGCUAAGGCUAAGCAAACCGUUACUAAGUUAGACUUGGCCUCCUGCCAUGAUCUAGCUUCAAGUAACGGGAACCUGCAUUAAAACAAGUCAACAAGCAAUCCCUAGUUAACCAUAUAUACGCUUGAGUUCAAUACUCAUGUAGUGUUAGACACUUAGACUAUACAAGUAUCAUUAGUCGAUCGACCAACAAUCAAACAAGAACAUGAUCGGCCAACCAAUGAUACCGCAUAGCUUUAAUAUCCACCACCCUUCACAAGCAAUCACUCAAACACAUAUAGGCCAACGUCAGGCCUACACUAACAAAAUACACAUCAAGCCUAAUCCGGUACCUAAACCAGACUUAGGACUUAAUGUCAGAACCUGCAAGCAAAUCAAUCAACCACAAACACAAUCACAAUAAUAAGACUAUGAGUAACUACGACUCGAUCUAACUUGUAACACCGUAUAUCGGUGCUACACUAACUCGAGGGUUCCAUAACCCUCUACGACACUCUAACACAACACUCUAACCUGGGCCCUGGUGACUUCGUGUUCCUCCUCUCUAUCGGCAAUAUCCUAUCUCCCUACCACAAAGGCCAGAAGAAGGAACUUUCAACCGACCGCGGCCCACAGUCCUUCGGGUCACCGCGCGACAGCCCACAGUCCUUCGGGUCACUGCCACAUUACACCGUCGUGUAAUCACUCAGCCAUAGGCCAUGACCCCGUCUCUCUGAGUCUUCCCGAUCCAGCGAAUAAGGGGUUUCCUUGAACCCGCUGGGUACGAGGUCUGAAGGAACACUAACUCACCCCUACACAAGCCUAGUAUGGGCGGGUCACGCACAUACUGUCGGCACACUCACAACAAAACAAACUCAAUCUAGAACCUAACCUAAAGCUAAAGUUCCAGAUCCUAACUAGACACUCGACUCUACAACACAAACCAAUAGUACCAGUAGUCCGGCCUAUAUGGCCUAAGACCCUUAGUACUAACUACUAAACAAUAAUAUCAAUACUAAACAACACAAUCAAACCGUUACCCAGAUAGUCCAGCCUCCCGCUGAGAAACUAUCUUUAAAGAUAACGGGAACCUGCACUCAACAAUAUCAACACGCAAUAAUAGAAAACAUGAUGCAUCCUAGCCCUAGUCCUAGUCAGGUUAUUAACUCAGUCUUAAUUCCAUUCAUCUCAGCUUAGCCCUUGCUAAACUGAGUCCGGUUCCAUAAAUAAAAUAACCCUAAGGACUCUACCAUUCAAUAGCGUGAUCAUUCUAAUCUAUAUGCAGACUCGAUCUACCCUAAAUUCCAAGUGGAAUUCAAACAAACCAACUCACAGUGUUCUAGGCGAGAAGCAGCUGGUUGAUCGGAGAAGACUUGGCCAAAACCCAAUGGACGCCUUGACUGGACUGGAAUGGACUGAUCUUGUCUUGGACACAACCUUGGCUUCACCAUGAAGAAGUUGACAGGCCUCGACAGGCUGAUCUGGACUCGGACAGAACCUCCUCUAGCUUCUGGACAGUUCUUCGGACUUCCCGCGGAGUAUCGAGCAGAACUUCGACUGAUCUGAACCCGUGGUUCUGAACUAACUCUGGGCAGCACCUCCACUAGACCAUCAUAGAAUAUGACUGGCUUGGACGAAUUGAAUUGGACAGAGCUUCCGCGUCACAAUCGUAGAGAAUCGCCGAUUGGACGGAACUGGCCUUCUCGGUGGAGUAUCGGUCUUCAGAAUCGACCAUACUCUAGAAUCGAUCACUUCCUUUCUCUCUCUCUCUCUCUCUCUCUCUAUAGCCACGUUGACUUGACUCCCAUCUGAUCUGAUCUUCACUUGAUUGACCUUCAGUUGGACAGAACCUUCCCAAGGCGAUGACUCGAAAUCAAUAGAGAACUGAUCUCGAAAACUCUCUAAAACUCUCGAAAUAGCUCGGAAUCACUUGCUUUCUUUUUCUACUUUUCUCUCAAGGUUUUAACUUGGUUUGGACAGGUCUGGAUGUGAAGAAAUGAGCUGGGGUCGUGGGGUAUUUAUAGGAGACACCAGCCAAUCAGCUUCAGGUUGGUGGCAGCCCGUGUGUCGCUCCGCAUGGCUCCGGACGCAUGCACGGCGACACCUCGUGCUCCACAUGGCUGGCUGCAUGUCCAGGACACAUGCAGGACGCCACCACUCCUCCCAGAUGUCAGGCUGCAUGACUGGAGCUCAUGCAAGGCGCCACAGCAUCACACACAUGUCGAUCAGCAUGCUUCGGUUGCAUGCGUCGCGACAUCUCGUGCUUGGCUAAUCCACCUCGUGCUCCUACAUGUCAAGCUGCAUGUGCAGCUUCCAUGCACGGCGACACCUCGAGCUUCUCUUGACACUCAGCUGGUUAGACAGUUGCCACCACGUUCUUAUCCCUUCUGAUCAAGCCACCUCGAGCUUCUCGGUUUCUUUGCGCGAUUUCGACCCUUCUUGUGAAUUUUUGACCCGCGAUCAAUCCCGAAUAUUUUUCCGCUCCCAUUCUGAUUCUCUGAAUAUUUUUAAUAAACUACAGAUGAUGUCUGAUAUCCUUUAAAAAUAUUUCCCGAGCCUCCGGCUUCCUCAAAGAAUUUCGUAAUACCGAAAUUAGGGUUUUCGCCCAACUUCGGGUUUUCCCGUCGUGCUUCCAUCCCGUCGUGCUUGCUUCCCGUCCUGCUUAAUUCCCGUCCUGCUUCCGACUUAUAAUGUCUUCAGAAUAAUAUUUUACUGAUACGAAGAUAUUCCGAGAAAACUUCGUGAUGAAGAAACGUCAGUCUUCAAAAACGUCGAGCUUCUAAACCGUCGUGCUUCCAAAAAUGUUAUGCUUCCAAAACAUCCUUCUGAUCAAUCUAACACUUUUCUAACCAUGGUCCAGCAGCUUAUGGUUCACCCAUGAUCAAUUCUUCGACCAUCCAUUGCCCGCGGUAUGACCACUAAAUAAUAAUUUUUUUUUUUAACGGGUUUCUACAUUCUCCCCCCCUUAAUAGAAUUCGUCCUCGAAUUCUUGGUUGCGCAAUUGCUCGUCUUCACAACAUUCUCCACUCAUCUCCAUAACCUCUUUACGCUGUCCACCACGGUUCCUUGAGUGUCCUCUUCAAGGCCUCCACAAUUGUCUUCAUAUCUCAUCACUGGAAUGAUCACUGAGUCAUCCUCUUUCUUUUACUCUGCCAUAACACCCUCAUUGCCCAUGAUACUAUCUUGUCCAGAUUCCUCAAAUCCUUUCUCGAUCUUUGUCUUCCCAAUUACUGAUGAAGUCCUUCCCCAAUGAAGUCUUGUUUCCUCCCAUCUGUCCAGUCCAUACCACAGCCCAGUUCUCUGAAUCUGUCUCUCCUCUUUCGCUUCGGGUUUGGGUUUGGCCUUGAACUCCCUCCACUUUAAGGUUUUCAUCCCUUAAAGUUCCGAUCAACAAACAUACUUACUCGCUGCAACUCAAAAGAACACUUAACAUGCAAGUUAGUAGACAAUUAAUCAAAUAAUCUACUAACCUAGCAAAUACUAACAAUGCAACCUAACCGCAAUUCUAACCAGCAACCUAACAGUUCUACCCAAGCAACCUAACAGUUCUAGAUUCCACUAUCUCAAUCCUAAUUUCCUAAAACCACAAAUCCUAUCGCUGGACGUGACCGGUUUCCCUAAUGCCUUUUGUGACUCAUUUUGACUCGAUAAAUAUUUAAAACCGAUUAAAUCAUGAGUUCCGGAAGCAUGGACGAAACCAUGCUCUGAUACCACCUCUGUAACACCCCCGAACCGUCCUAAGCAUAGGUCGACCCACCGGCCAACAAUCAAACAAGAACAUGACCGACGGACGACCCACACCAAGGGUUGGAGAUGAAAGGCCAACCGGCCAGCCAACAAUCAAACAAGAACAUGACUGACCGUCCAACCCAACACCAUGGUCCGGAAGCGCUACGUGACGGGCUAGGGACAAUCCGGUCAGAGUCACAAACUUUACUCCACGACCUAGACCAGUUCAUCCACUAACUCGUCCCGCUGCGUCAAGGCAUAAGGCUUUGCAACCCGUACCUAGAGUUAGCGUUUUCCGUUAGAUCAAGGCCUAAGGCUUUUCAACCCGUACCUCGACCUAACGUUGUGUUAGACCGGACUAGUCAAAUAUCAGAGUACUCAUGAAGCGCAUAUAAAACAAUUACUUUUAUUGAUUCAAGAAAUAUUCAUACAUUGAAUAAUUCAAGACUGGGCCCGGCCUAAUGCCAAAUCGAGUCAACAUAACACAAUUCACAAUACCGUUUACAAAAGGCAUGAAAAUCUACACCGGCGGUCCUAACGUCCAGCACCAAGCUAUCCGAUCAUCCUUACCUAAAGCGACCUGCAAAAAGGACAACGGAGUUGGAUGAGUAAUCUAGUAUUACUCAGUGAGCUGGCGGCCUCUACCCGCAACCUAGACUCUACCCAGACAACCCAAAAUAACAAUCAAUCUAGCCCUAGCAUGCAAUAAAAGCUAAGGCUAAGCAAACCGUUACUAAGUUAGACUUGGCCUCCUGCCAUGAUCUAGCUUCAAGUAACGGGAACCUGCAUUAAAACAAGUCAACAAGCAAUCCCUAGUUAACCAUAUAUACGCCUGAGUUCAAUACUCAUGUAGUGUUAGACACUUAGACUAUACAAGUAUCAUUAGUCGAUCGACCAACAAUCAAACAAGAACAUGAUCGGCCAACCAAUGAUACCGCAUAGCUUUAAUAUCCACCACCCUUCACAAGCAAUCCCUCAAACACAUACAGGCCAACGUCAGGCCUACACUAACAAAAUACACAUCAAGCCUAAUCCGGUACCUAAGCCAGACUUAGGACUUAAUGUCAGAACCUGCAAGCAAAUCAAUCAACCACAAACACAAUCACAAUAAUAAGACUAUGAGUAACUACGACUCGAUCUAACUUGUAACACCGUAUAUCGGUGCUACACUAACUCGAGGGUUCCAUAACCCUCUACGACACUCUAACACAACACUCUAACCUGGGCCCUGGUGACUUCGUGUUCCUCCUCUCUAUCGGCAAUAUCCUAUCUCCCUACCACAAAGGCCAGAAGAAGGAACUUUCAACCGACCGCGGCCCACAGUCCUUCGGGUCACCGCGCGACAGCCCACAGUCCUUCGGGUCACUGCCACAUUACACCGUCGUGUAAUCACUCAGCCAUAGGCCAUGACCCCGUCUAUCUGAGUCUUCCCGAUCCAGCGAAUAAGGGGUUUCCUUGAACCCGCUGAAUACGAGGGCGAGGAAACACUAGUCCACCCCAAAACAUGCCUAGCAUGGGCGGGUUUCGCACCUGCUGUCGGCAUAACACACACUCGACACAAUUAUCCCUAGGAAAGACCUAAGGGACAAGACUCCAACCCAAAACUAAACAACUCAACCAGUUAGUCACUCCCUUACCAAGAGAUGACUAACCUCAAUCAACAAGAUUAAUUAAACGAGCAAGCAUUUAAUUAAAUCUACUCAAUCAAUCUACUCAAUCAAACCGUUACCCAGAUAGUUCGGCCUCCUGCUACGACACUAUCUUUAAAGAUAACGGGAACCUGCACUCAAUCAUAUCAACACGCAAGAAUAGAAAACAUGAUGCAUCCUAGCCCUAGUCCUAGUCAGGUUAUCAACUCAGUCUUAAUUCCAUUCAUCUCAGCUUAGCCCUUGCUAAACUGAGUCCAGUUCCAUAAAUAAAUAACCCUAAGGACUCUACCAUUCAAUAGAUUGAUCAUUCCAAUCUAUAUGCUACUCGAUCUACCCUAAAUUCCAAAUGGAAUUCACACAAAACCAACUCACAGUGUUCUAGGCGAGAAGUAGCUGGUUGAUCGGAGAGGACUUGGCCAAAACCCAAGGGACGACUUGAAUGGAGUGGACUGGACUGAUCUCGACUUGGACUGAUCUUGACUUGGAAAGAACCUCGGCUUCACCAUGAAGAAACUGACAGGCCUCGACAAACUGAUCUGGACUCGGACAGAACCUCCUUUAGCUUCUGGACAGUUCUUCGGACUUCCCGGCGGAGUAUCGAGCAGAACUUCGACUGAUCUGAACCCGUAGAACUGAACUAACUCCGGACAGCAUCUCCACUUGAUCAUAAAAGGAACUGAGUGCCCUGGACGAAUUCAGUUGGACAGAACCGUCCCUAGGCGCUGACUCGAAAUCAGUAGAGAACUGACCUCGAAAACUCUCUAAAAUUCUCGAAAUAGCUCGGAAUCACUUCCUUUCUUUUUCUACUUCUCUCUCACGUUUUUAACUUGGUUUGGACAGGUCUGGAUGUGAAGAAAUGAGCUGGGGUCGUGGGGUAUUUAUAGGAGACACCAGCCAAUCAGCUUCAGGUUGGUGGCAGCCCGUGUGUCGCUUCGCAUGGCUCCGGACGCAUGCGCGGCGGCACCUCGUGCUCCACAUGUCAGGCUGCAUGUCCAGGACACAUGCAGGACGCCACCACUCCUCCCACAUGUCAGGAUGCAUGCCUGGAGUGCAUGCAAGAAGCCACACCAGUACACACAUGUCGAUCAGCAUGCUUCGGUUGCAUGCGCGGAGACACCUCGUGCUUGGUCGAUCCACCUCGUGCUUCUACAUGUCAGGCUGCAUGUACAGCUUCCAUGCACGGCGACACCUCGAGCUUCUGGAGACACUCAGCUUGUUAGAUGCUUGACACCACGUUCUGAACCCAUGCAACGAGCCACCUCGAGCUUCUCGGUCGGUUUACGCGAUUUUUUACCCUUCCGGCAAAUUUCUGACCCGUGAUCAAUCCCGAAUAUUUUUCCGCUCCCGUUCUGAUGCUCUAAAUAUUUUUAAUAGACUCCAGAUGAAUUCUGAUAUCCUGUAAAAAUAUUUCCCGAGCCUCCGGCUUCCUCGAAGAAUUCCAUAAUACCGAAAUUAGGGUUUUUGCCCGAUUUCGGGUUUUCCCCGUCGUGCUUCGAUCCCGUCGUGCUUGCUUCCCGUCCUGCUUAAUUCCCGUCCUGCUUCCAACUUAUUAUGUCUCCAGAAUAAUAUUUUACUGAUACGAAGAUUUUCCGAGAAAACUUCGUAAUGAAGAAACGUCGGUCUUCAAAACGUCGGUCUUCAAAACUUCGAGCUUCUGAAACGUCGUGCUUCCAAAAAUGUUAUGCUUCCAAAACUUUCGUCUGAUCAAUCUAAGACAUCUUCUAACUAUGGUCGAGCAGCUUAUUCGACUCAUAGUUCCCUCGCAAACAAUUCUUCGACCACCUCGUUCUUCGAAAUUUGCCGAUCGAUCCUUACCGCCCGCGGUUCGACCACCAAGUUGAUGUUCGACCAGUCUUCUCUUUUCUUCGAAUCAUGUCAAGUUUUAUGUGAUCAAAACUCAACAUUCCUCCUGAUACUUAGACUCCCAAAUGCUCGGCUCCACAUUCAUUUUUUUUUUUUUUAAUCCCGAAGGGCGGGUUAUCACAAUGUCCCUCAGCUUAAGUAAUUUCCACCAAAUCCAUGAUCCCUUAUUAUCAUCUCUUACAUCCCAAAAGGAACUCUGUCUAAGCAAGUAGCGCUUGAUCCAACAAACCCACAGUGAAGUUGGUUGAGUGAAAAUACGCCAUAUAAGCCUAAAGCAUAAACCUUAGAUGUAUCUCUAAGCGUCCUCAACCCAAGCCCUCUCUCCUCCUUAGGGUAACAUAAAUCUUCCCAGCUCACCUUUGCUUUCAGAGUUUGCAUAGGCGAUCCUGACCAAAGAAAGGCACUGCACAUGCUUUCUAUUGUGUCCAGACAGUUAUCAGGGAGUAUAAAAGCAGAGCUCCGAAAAUUCAUCAUGCUCACAAUAACCGACUGAAUCAAUUGGAAUCGCUCAGCGAAGGACAGGCUCUUGUUCGACCAGCAGAGCAUCUUCCUUCUGAUCUUAUCUAUCAAAGGCUCAUAGUCAUGAGUUGUUAAAGAUUUUGUGCUUAAUGGCAUACCUAAGUAUCGAAUAGGUAGGUUUCCAACUCCAAUUCCCAAUGCCUCCGCUUCAGUAAUCAUUAACAUAUGGUUACUUCCUGCUACAUAUAUUUGGGACUUUGCUUCAUUUAUAUGAAGUCCAUAUAUCUCUGCAAAUUCUUUCAGAACCUCCAUAAUCCCGUUUAAAGAUUCUGAGGUGCCAUCAAUAAAAACCAGGAUGUCGUCUGCGAAACUCAAAUGAGUGAGCUUGACUCCUUGGCACUGAGGAUGAUAAGCAAACUUCCCCUCUUCGGCUGCUUGGUUGAGCAAUUUUGAGAGCACAUUACUAAGAAUGACGUACAAGCUCCCUUAUUCCUCUGGCGCUCGUGAAGAAGCCUUCAAGACUUCCAUUUACUAAAACCGAGCAUCCCUGCCUUAUUCCUCUGGCGCUCGUGAAGAAGCCUUUGAUUGCACAUCUUGCUGAGCAGGAGGCCUUGUGAUAGCCAUUUAUCAGCUCAGAUGCCAAGAGAACAUUUUCCAACAGCAGCCUUUCUUUUAUGAAUGCACUCUGAUUCGCCUCUAUACCUCCUGGAAAUAUGAGCUUGAGCAUGUUAGCUAACACCUUCGAGAUUACCUUGUACAACAGAUUGCAGCAUGCUAUGGGCCUGAAGUCUUUCAUCAUCUGUGCAUUUUCGGUCUUCGGGAUCAAUGUUAGACUUGUUGCAUUUAUUCAUGUAGGGAGAAAUCCAAAGAGGAAGAAAGACUGAAUCGCAGUAAUGAAAUCUCUGCCAAUCACAGGCCAAGCCGCAGCGUAGAAUUAUUUUGUGUAGCCGUCAGGUCAUCAUAUAUCUCGCGUCCUGAGACAGGAGCAACCAGCUGUGCACAUACACCUCCUGGGCACCUAUACGUCAGUAGACCACAGAGAUCAGCACCCGUACCCUCUAGUCCAGUGAUAUCCUGCGUUUGUAAGAAUCUUUGGAAGUGUGAGACCGCUGCUCUCUUAAUGUCAAUAGAUGCAGUAAGAAUUCUCCAAUCUCUGUAGUGAGGCUUUGAAUAGCGUUUCUAGCAGUCCAAGUCUGAACGAAACGAUGAUAGAAAACCGUAUUCAGAUCUCCAGCCUGCAGCCAUCUUAUACACGACUUCUGUAACCAAAAUUUCUCCUCUAUUCUUGCAAGCUUCUGCCAGCGAGCGGAAGCCUUAGACUCUUGAGAACAUUUUAGAGGGCUGGGGUCAGUGAGCACUCUGUUCUGACAAGCACAAAGCUCCUCAUAAGUUUGCUUGGUUCUGUUCGGUAAAUCACCAUAUCUGGUCCGGUUCAGAGCUCUUAGAUUGAACUUAAGCAGUUUUAAUUUCCUAUGAAAACAUGACAAAGUUGAACGAGAAUGGUAUAGCUUAGGCGAUGUAUCCCAAACUUCUUUGACAGUAUGUAGAAAAUCCUCAUGAUUUGCCAGAUAGUUAAAGAACCGAAAUGGCUUUCUUCAUCAAGGUCUCCUGAAAGCCUGACCAUACAUCUUGCAUGAUCUGAAACCCCUCCUGCUUCAAAUUUAGCAAAAGACUGAGGAUAUCUCUGCAGCCAUUCCCCAUUUACAAGAGCCCUGUCUAGUUUCUUCCCAAUAGGGUCCUCGUCUCUUUUCUUCCACCACGUAAAAAGAGCACCAAUAUAAGGUAGAUCCAGCAACACACAGUCGGUUGUAACUUCUUGAAAGUGCGUCAUACCCGUUUGAUCACUUCGAUAAUCCAAAGCGCGAGAGUGCUCGGUUGAGGAUAGAGUCACAUUAAAGUCCCCUACCAGAAUCCACAGGAGAUUAAGAAUAGAAUAUGCUGCUUUAGUUUCUCUCAGGUCUCUCCAAAGCUGUAUCCUCUCUACAGACGUAUUGUGGGCGUAGAUAGCUGAGCAAAUGAAUUGAUCCCCUGAUUCUGGUAUCUGAAUGGCACAUGUUAUGAUCUGAUCACUCAUGUGCAAUUUUGUUACCACCACCUCAUUUGACCAGCAAAACCAGAUUCUACCUAGACGAUGGUAUUCAUAAUUCGUCAAGACUUGCCAGUGAGGCAUAGCCGCUUCCAUACACUUCGUUAACUUCUCUUCUCGGACUCUUGUUUCUGCUAGACAGCCAAAAAUUGGUUUCUCAGCCUGAAUCCAACUUCUCACUGCUCUAUGUUCACAUGACAUGUUAAAUCCACGCAUAUUCCAAGCAAAGAAACUCGUCACAGCUUCCUUACAGAAGUUUUCUUUUGUUGUCCCUGCCUACCCCCAAACUUCAAAUCUUUUGCUUGAACUAUGGUCUUCUUUUUUGAUUUAUUUACUAAACCAACAUUUUGGCGCCUCCCUUUAACGGUCGAGACUUUAGAAGGCACUCCUCUCUUUUCAACUAAUUCACCCUCCUCGAUCUCAUCCUCCUCUUUGUUCAUAUCAUCCUCAUCCUUUUGUUCAAAUUCCCCAUCCUCCUGCUCCAAGUCCAAACGAGGGCUGAAUCUAGAAGGCGAGACCACUAUGUUGACUUCAUCAUCUUUAUUAAGCUCUGAACUCUCUGCAGAAUUGAGGUGUUGAUUGCCAUAUACCUGUGACCAAUUUCCCUCCACUGUAGCUGGAAAAGUCUCAGUUGUUGGCUCAGCAAUCCUAAUCUGUGGCAAAAUUUCAACAUUGUCUGUCUCACCAUCAUCAUGAGACUUUACCUCUAUGCGAGGCAGAGCCUGUUCCACCGGUGGUCCCUCUCCCUGCAGUUGAGAAUCUUUUGGUAGUGCUACCAACUCCUUCAAGAGAUCAGUAACAACAUUUCCUCGCGUACCAUCUUCCACCGGAGAUGGAACUACUUUGAAAACCUCCUUGCGUACAUCCUCUACUCAGCGCUGGAGUAUCUUGACAUUAUCAGCCUUGCAGUCUGAUCCCUUAUGCCCCCAUCCUUUACAAACAGCGCAACGCGACGGAAGCCAAGUAUAGUUUACUUCAAUCUCACACUGAUCUCCGUUCUUGUCUUUGAAGACAAUUCUCUCAACUAACGGGUUAUGCAAGUUAACCUCUGCUAAUAUACGAGCUACAUCCAAAUGAGUACACAUUUCCGUAUUGGGAUGAAGUUUUACGAAAUUCCCAGCCGCUCUCAUCAAACACUUCAAGCCAUAUUGAUUGUAUGGUUUGUGUUAUUUUUUAGGGGGAGAUUGAGAUAUUUGGCAAAACAAUAUGUAAGGAAAUUAGGAAGAAAUUAGCAAUACAUGUUAAAUGUGAUAAAAAGAAAGAAAUGAUAAUGAGAUAAAUAAGAAGAUACAAAAUAAUACAAAUACGAAGAAAAUGUAUAAGUCAAUCUGAUAAUUUCAUAUGUAAUUCCACAAAUAUUUGUUAUUACUAAAUACUCAUUAUUUAUUUUGUAUUAAACUUAUGAAAACUUUGCAACUCGAAAUUAUUGUGCAUCAAAGUUAAAUGGGGUGAUAUAUAAGUUAAUGUCAUGAUAUAUAAAUGCUUUAAAAUAUAUUUUACGUCCACUGAUCAUGAGUUCGUUAAUAAUUUGAUCUAACUCAUGUAAAAUAAAUAAUUUUAGCAACUUAGAUUAAUAUUUUGAAUUAUUACUAAAAUUAACGUUUCUAAAAUUAAAAUACUGAAUUUUUAAAAGUUUAAGCUAUUUUGAGUUAAAAAUUAUCUUUUUAUACUUCUAAUCAUUAUUCAAAACUUAUGGGGAUUAUAUGCAUAAUAUAUAUUUUCAUACAAUAUUUAAAUUUGCUAAUUCGCAGACAAUCACUUAGUUAAUAUAUUAUAGUAUAGAAUUUUAUAAAAAUAAACUUCGUGAAGAAUAGUUUUAAUAUAAAACAUUACAUAUUUAAUAUAUUUUUAUAAUUUAUAAACGCAUAAACCACCUAAAUAAUAAUUUAAGGUCUGAUUAGUCGUUAUAGGCGUUAGGUGCUGAGUUACUGUCUGUUUAGCUCCUAACAUGUACACUUGCUUUGAUCUACCGUUGCACAGAUUGUGGAAACAGUAUCAAGUAUAUCAUUCUUGACUACCAUCAACAGCACUGGUGCAUCAAUGUCUUCUCCGACAAUGCAGUCUGCGUAGAAUUACCACCAACCCAUCUAACAACUUGUUUGGUCGUGACGACGUCACACAUAUCCCUGUUCAUUUCACAGUAGAACCCUAGGUACGUAAAUAUUUCAAUCACCAUCUGGUCCUAUUUAUUAUCAAGGGCAUGAUCCCCUUCCUAAUCGUCGUAGGUUGUCGCGCAUGUUUAUUUCCUAUAAAACGAAAGUGUCCUCCUUCAUCGACAUACAAACUGCAACAAAUAUAAAACUAACGUAAUAAUAAAAUAGAAAAUGGAUAUUAAAGAUAUUGUUGUCAACAAAAUCAAAUAAUGACACCUAUUAUAGAGUUAUCAGUUUUGCAUUUAAUAUGUAAAUUAGAGAUAUUUUCUCUAAUUUCUUUUUUUUUUUCACUGAAAAUGCAUUACUUAUAAAAAUUGUCAACCAAAACACAAGUUCUCGCCAAGAAAUUAAAAACAGAGCCUCAAACUCUAAUUUAUUUUCUUGUAUUUAUUUUUAUUCUUCUUUCUUUCACUUUGGAAUGUAAACAAUAAUAUAUACAGAGAUGAAGCAAAAGAUAGAAAAAGAAUAUUUUUACUAUGUGAAAUUAAUACUGAGGAUAGAAGAACAACAAAGCUCUUCUUCUCCGACUAUAGUUGGUGAUUAUAUUUUCUCUUUCAAAUUUUUUUUAUUGGAUCUUACUGAUUAAUCUUAGGAUUAUAAUUUUUUAGAGAUUGAUUUCUCUUUGAUUUUGAUAAAUUAAGGGUUUUGAUUUUGGAUUUGAGAUGAGUUAGUCUAAUAAUAUUAAUAUCUCAUGUUCUUUUUUUAAGAUGGUUUUUAUGAGAUGAAUAUGAAUAAUUAAUAAUUAAUUUAGAUUUAUAAUUAUUUGGGAGUUGGUUUUUUUUUGGAUUUUGAUCAAGAAAAAGAUUUGAUUUUUGAUUUAAGAUCAACUAGUUUUAAUGAUGAGGAGGUGGAUCAACAUGUAAAAGCUUCAGGAAAUUUAAUUAUUGUUACAACAAAACAGAAGCAAGUAUUGUAUGAUAUAAAGUCCGUCUAAAAAUGCCAUUCAUUUGGGUUUAACUUCACAUUGGGUAGUUCAUGGUAAUGAAAAUGUAACCGGAUAUUAUACAUUAUAAUAGAACGUUUGUAAAAUAAAUGGUUAACAUGACCAUAAAUAAAUGAUAUACGUUUAAAUUACCAAAUUAUAAUUAAAACAUCAAAUUCUAAAAAUACUACCUGGUUAUUCAACCACACGUCUGUGGUCGGGUGGUCAAGAUGUUCCGUAGAUUCCUAAAAGGAUCCGAAUUCAAAUUUGCAUCAUUCCAGAUUUCCACGCGUGUGAUCACCGGAGUUUUCACAUUCUCUCCGGAGAAUGGUUUAUCAUUGUUUUUUUUUGUUCCUAAGUGGUUAUUCCAAUUAUUUUAUUAUUAGUCCGAUAAAAAUUGUUAAUGAAUAAUGUUUCUUUCCAGGUAGAUGCAGCCAAAUUCGAUCAGUGACAAACAAGUAUUUAUUGCUAUCGGUGACUACAGAACACUCAAAUUUCCAAUAUGAAUGUCCUUCACUUGAUCUAACGAAGGUGAUCAUGAAAGAUGCAAAACCAUCUAGGUGGAUGAAUCGUCUUAUGAAGUAGUUGGAAAUGUUUGUGGGUAUUUAAAAUAUUCCUUGACAUAAAUAUUGCUAGUAUGGUGUAAUGUGCAUGAAAAUCAGUAUGUAUCCGGCAUGUUGUUUUUUAGUUUUUGAUGGUUAGAUAUAAUUUAACAACUGGAUAAUGUUAUGUAUUUCUAUAUAUGUUUAAUAUAAUUGGUUUUAUUUAAAUAUAACCAGAUUUGUUGAUGUUUAUGUUUAAGUAUAAAUUAUACUCCCUCCGUUUUUUUUAAUAUAAGUCGUUUUGGAGAAAUUUUUAGGUUCCAAAUUAUAUGACGUUUUCGGUUUUCUAUGCAAAAUUUAUUAACACUUAGUGUUAUAUGACUAAUGAUAAUAUACAUUCUAUCCCCUAGACUAUAUUUGCGAAGUGAUUUUGCCACAUGUCCUAUCUACAAUCAUUUUUACAAAAAAAAUGAUGACAUGGCUAACAAAAUUGAUGACAUGGCUUAUAGUUAAUAUGACAUGGACAAUCACAUUUAUUACUGACAUAUAUUUUUGGUACACUUUAUAGAAUAUUGCAAUAACUAAUACAUUACCCUCCACAACACAUAAUUUUAUUAUUGGUUGAUUUGUGGUUAGGUAAGUAGUUAAUGAUGUUUUUGUUUAGAAAAUAUAAAAAAUUAAUGAUUUUUUUAAUCUAUGCAGACAAUUCUAAAAUGACUUAUAUUACAAAACGGAGGGAGUAGUUAAAAAUGAAUUAUAUAACCAGAUUUGUUGCAUUAAAUGUGAGAUAUCAUGUAGAUUUGGUGUCAAAUAUAACUAGUUUUCCUAAUAUGAAAUGGUUCAUGUGUUAUAAAAGGUUCAUGUGUUAUAAAAUAAGUUCUGUAGCAUAAUCCAAACUGUGGAGGAACAUUUUUGUGUCACAACAAUACAUGUUGUGAAAUUUAUGUGGUAGUUAAGAAAUAUAUCAUGAACGAAAUAGCUGAAACGAAAUUAACAAGUUUAUCUAAUAAAAAUGUCAAAUAUUCUGACUGUGUUUAUCUUGUUCUUGCCGUAAACACCAUCUUUUCAUAAGUUUUUAGUUAAAACUCUUCAAAAUAUUCUGAUUGCUAAGUGUAAAUUUUUUGUUUACCUCAAUAACAAAACUCGGCUCAGUUCGGGAAGAACAAGUAUGCAUAAAUACUUGUAUAUAUUAUUAAGGACUCGGGAAGCAUAUUGUUAUGUACUUAUUAGAAGCUUAUAAAAAAUGACACAGUAAUUUGAAGAUCUUCAAUUCUCACGGUCUGACGCAAGAGUUGAUUCGAAAAUUAUAAAAUUUUCUCAUAUUUUUUUGAGAAAAAAGUAGAAGAAAAAAUGAUUGUUGGCUAAAGAGAUGAGGCAUGAACGGAUCAUGUAAUACCCCUGAAAAAAUAUCAAAACAUGUGGUCAUGUUAUGCCCAAAAAUAAAGUUUCACGUGCAGUAGGAAACAGAGAACAUUUUUCAAAAAAGAAAAGAAAAGUUAAAAGUUAGAGAGGUAUUACCAGAGAAGCAAAGAUGGGCUGCAUUGAUCUUAUCAAUUUAACAAGUACCAAUAUUUAUCGGCUGGUGCUUACAAGAACAUCAAACAAACCCUACAUCACAAGAGGAUCAUCGAUGGCUGCUAUUCGAGCUGAGUCAGUGGCUACUGAGAAAUUAGGAAUCUUUAUCGAGAAGAAUCCUCCCGAGUCCAAACUCACCCAACUCGGUGUUCGUAGUUGGCCCAAGUACGCCCUUCUUCGUCUUUAGUUCUUGAUUCGAAACCAAUUAGUAGACACAAUCAUCAAAGCUUUAUUCUUUUUUCUCGCCUGGAAAAGAUGUCUUUAAGCUUUUUAUCGUUGUUGUCGAAUUCAAUCACCGUUGGUUUGGUGAAAUGAUGGAACAGGUGGGGUUGUCCUCCAAGCAAGUUUCCGUGGACUUAUGAUGCAAAGGAGACUUGUUUUCUGCUAGAGGGGAAAGUGAAAGUGUACCCUGAUGGGUCCGAUGAAGGCGUGGAGAUUGAAGCAGGCGACUUUGUUGUUUUCCCUAAAGGGAUGAGUUGCACUUGGGAUGUAUCCGUUGCUGUUGAUAAACACUACCAAUUCGAGUGAAUGGCUAUCAGUUUCUGCUCCGCAUAUUUGGUGAUAUGUUCGAUAUAACUUCACUGUCAUUGUAUGUUGACUUAAUUUUGUGUGUCAUGUAUCAGUCUAUGCAUUGCUGGGAUUUAUUUGCUUCGAUAUCUAAGUGAUUUCUCGUCAUGUAAUGUCCCGUUGCUGGCAUUUCCUGCCCGAUCCUCAUCAUCCUAACUUAGGUUAGAGCGUCGAGGAUCUAGGGGUUUAAUUGUUUUGGUAUGUUCUUUUGGCUGCCUAGGACAGGCUUGAAGUAUGAGACUAUUAGAGAAUUUCGGUUAGAAGUUUUUUUGCGUUAUUUUAGAAUUUUUAAGGACUUUGUGCUUGACAUGUCCUAGGAUAAGCAGAUAAAGAAAACCAGAGAAAUAAAUAUUAGCACUAGAUUUGUUCAUUAUGAAUCUAGCUAUUCAACAAGCCAAAACCCAACACUACACUGAGAAAAUUAGUUUUGCACCUCAUUCGAACUCACCUGAAAAAAAAUGGAGUGAAUAUUUUGAAAAAUACUCAGUGCGGAAACCUCUAGGGACCCCAAAAUGAGAAAAAAAAACGAGGAUAAAUCCCAACAGUUACAACAUGAGACCAUGCAACCUAAAGAGGUAUAUUUGCAUUCCUCAUGUUGCCACGUGAGAGUUCACCACCUAAAUUGAUACCCGUGAGUUCAACGCCUUCACGCAAUCACAUUACCCAAACUUGUCCACGCGUGAUCCGACAAAUUUUAUAACUCCACACACGUCUGCUGACUGCCUCCUCCAGCAAUGAAUUAUGCCACCUCAUUUGAUCCACACAUGACCCAACGAGAAACAAUGCAAAGCUGGAGAAAUACUUCUCUGCGUUACGUUGCACAAGAAUCACAUAGUCUUCAGCCUUUCUCUAACUUCUAUACAUAAUGAUCCAGAUAGUGGUGGAAAAUCCGCAGACGGAUUUGCCUCUGUUACUUUGAGAAUCCAUCAACGGUGGUCGCAAUCCACAGGACUUGGUGGUGGUUAAGGAACUUAUUCUUCCUCCCAUGAUUUGAACAUGAUUUUUAAAGAAGGAGAAGGUGGAGAUUAUCAGCUUCUUUAACAUAUUUGUUCUUUUUCUUGUACUGAUCGUUGUAGUUAAAAAAAUUGUAAUUGCCAACCACAUGGUAAUAUAAUCCCUCAAAUAGGCCUACGGCAGGGGAUCCUUUGUUUCCAUAUCUUUUCAUUAUGUGCACGGAGGCAUUGAUAGAAAACAUUCGUAAAGCCGAACAAUAUAAGAUAUUAAUAUGAUUAAAAGUAGUAAGAGAAAGCCCGGCCAUCUCACAUCUUUUCUUUGCAGAUGAUAACCUUGUCGAAUGUAAAGCGCAAAAGGAUGAAUAUCAGACAAUUUUACAUAUUCUUAAGGAUUAUGGAAAUGUAUCAGGUCAGCAAAUCAGUUUGGCAAAAUCCUCUUUACAGUUUGGGCGCAAGAUUGGGGACACUUGUAAGAUAUAUUAGGGAUCCAAACUUUAGGAGGCAUGGGCUCAUACUUGGGGAUUCCCGAAUGUCUUGGAGGAUCAAAAACAAAAAUCUUCGGAUUCCUCCAAGAGAGGAUGCAUACUAAAGUGAAUGGAUGUACAAUUAUAUAUCUUACCAAAGGUGGAAAGGAAGUGCUUAUAAAAUCUGUGGCAACGGCAAUGCUGAGCCAUGCCAUGUCCUGUUUUUGUCUCUUGGAAGCAACAACCUCGAAGCUAACUACUAUAGUAUCACAAUUUUGAUGCAACAUUGUUGGAAAUAGAAGGGGGAUGCAUUGGAUGGCAUGUGAUAAAUUAUGUCGAAAAAAUAUGAGGGUGGCAUAGGGUUCAAGAAUCUUGACGAUUUCGAUACGUCUAUGUUAGGAUAGCAAUUUUGGCUUUUACAUGAGACGCCUAACUCUUUAUUUGCGAAGGUUUUCAAAGGUCGAUAUUUCAGAAUACAAGCCCGAAAAAAUGAUUGUUGGCUAAAGAGAUGAGGCAUGAACGGAUCAUGUAAUACCCCUGAAAAAAUAUCAAAACAUGUGGUCAUGUUAUGCCCAAAAAUAAAGUUUCACGUGCAGUAGGAAACAGAGAACAUUUUUCAAAAAAGAAAAGAAAAGUUAAAAGUAAAUUAAUUCACGUUUAUCAUUCAUUUACUGUAGACAAGCUCAUCAACCCGACAUCGUAAAUAGACACUUGGUUGAUUUGGCUGAUGCAAUGAUUAUUGAAAGCAUCCCAUUGUGUCAGUAUCAGACUAUAGAUAGAGAUGAAUGACAUUUUACUCAGUCGGGUAGAUACUUGGCCAAAUUUGAAUAUACAGUAGAGCAAAUUUAUCCGGAUAGAGAGAGAGAGACAUAUACCAUUAUUUUUCCAAAUUACCAAGACACUACGGGCGUAGGCAUGGAAAAUAAAAUGUCUCUCAAAGUUGAAACACUUUCUAUGGUAAAUUAUUUCAAGAUGUUUAUCGGUAAUGAAGAAUUUAAAAAGUUGAGGGAUAAAAUAUGAUAUGCAAUGUGAAAGAUGUGGAACAGAACAUGAGUCAGUAAAUCAUGUAUUCUUUGAAUGUUCUCCCGCUAUUCAUACAUGGGCUUUAUCAAGAGUUCUUACAAGUCCAGAUAACUUUCUCAUGCAAUUACUUUAAUCAAAUAUGGAUAACUUGUUCUGAAGGAUUGCAUUACACAUAGAAGAUGAUCAGUUUACUAGGAUAUUAUGGUAUAUUUGGAAAGGGUGCAAUAUGAUAAGGUUUUUAACAGACUUUAUAGAGAUCCUAGAGAUACUCUACAUUUGGCGGAGACGGAAGCAAUGCUACGGAACAAGACUCAAAUAUUAUUGUCACAGAAUGGAACUCAGACACCGGCGACCUAGAAUGGUAAAGAGGAAGUUCGCAAACUGCCUAGCAGGAUAGAAAGAUGGUGUUUCACAUAUGGGUCAUGGAAGAAUAAGAACUUAUUCUCGGGCAAUUAUUGGUAUAGUAAUUUGGAGUGUUUUGAUGGAUUGAUGGGGGAAAGAAAUACUAAGAGCACCUAUCCCCUUUACAUGCAGAAUUUGAAGCCUUUAUAUGGGCGAUGAAAUCUAUGAAGAAUCCCAUGUAACGUUUGCGACAUAUUAUUGUCAGUUGGUGAAGAUAGUUUCAAGACAAUUGUUAUGUAUGAAAACUUUUGAAUAUUAAAAAUAAUUUUAAUUAAUUUAAAACUCGAAAAAUUAUAAUAUUUUACCAAAAAUUUAUGUUAAAGAAUCCAAAAUAAGAUAUAUUUUUAUUUUAAAUCUCAAAAUAAUUAGAUAUUUGUUUAAAUUUAUUUUAUCGUAGUUGAAUAUAGAAUUUAGAUUUAUUACAUUUAUAAAUUAUUAUUUUUCAAAAAAAUUAUAUUUUAAUAAAAUAAUUAGCAAUAUAUUUUUAUGUUUUCUUAAAAAAAUUAUACAAUAUUUUAGAUCGCUUUUAUCUACUUUCAACAUUUAAACAUAUGUUGUGGAUUGCUAGAUCCACUUUAUGUACAUUUAUACCAUUAGAUCUGUGUGAUGGUCUACUCUUGAUCCGCACUGCUUAAUUUACCUAUUUUAUUUACUUAACAGGUUCAGCAAACAACAAAUUAUAUGAGGUUUCGACUUUGUAUUAAGCCCGCAACAUAAAUAAACAUCUUGGCCAAUUUACUUCUCACGAGGAUACUGCUUUCACCAACACAACCAUGGCCAAGAUAAGAGAACCUAACAUACUGUGUCUAUGUUCGUCAACCACAGAGACAGAUUACACAGAGAAAGUGAUUCAGUUGCAUGUUUAUGUUAGAGUUUCCAUUAGGGUUGGGGUUUUGAUUUAGGAUCUCUUUUGUGUUAAGGUUUCGAUUCUGUUCACUAUAAAAGGGUUUCAAUUUUAUGUUCUCUAGAGUUUGGAUUCGGUAAAGGACAUCCAUUAAAUCUUGCGAUUAGUAUUUAGGGAUCGUGGUUAUGUUUUUGUUAUUUAAAUCUCUCCCAACUCAUACCUCUUCACUCUUUCACAGAAACGCAACAGUGAAGACCACAAAGGGAUCCUUCCUUAGAUCAAGUACGUCCUGUGACUCCUGGUACACCUUAUUCCAUGACUCAUGGAGCUGUUGGUUCUUCUAGUCCGGCCUCUUCUGCUGCUAACUACACAGGAGAACCGAGGACGCUUUGCUACGUGCUCCCACAAGAGAAAACAAGCCACACCUCCAUCCAAGGAAGCUCAAUGGAGCAUUGGAGCUUUGUGGUAAGUUAGCUCAUUACUUUUGUUUCUUGAAUUUAGUAUGAUGCUUCUGUUUAGUCUAGAUAUAUUAACGGGAUAUAUCUGUUAUAAAAUAUUUGGGCCAUUUACUCGUAAAUAGCAAGUGAUAGAACGGGGCAAAGGUUUGUAUAUAUUAUAUUUGUUCACGCCGGAUAUUAUAAUUUUUAGAAGGAUAUCCGACGCCCGGAUAUCCGCGAACUUCGGAUCCGGAUAAGGAUAGUAAAAUUACGGAUCCGCCGGAUAAGGAUCCGGAUCCGGAUAUCUUAAAAUUGCCCGGAUACCCAAUCCGUCCCAGGUCUAGUGUCCAUAACAUGUAAACUUCAUUUAUAUGUUGAAACAAACUAUAACGUCCCAGACCACCAUUGUUGAUGGGCUUUCUGUGCCCGCUCAAUCGGUAUGUAGACUCCAUUAGGUGCAACUGGACGGUGACUUAAUUUUUUGAAAGAUCAUAAGUUUUGUUUUCUGGUUGAAAUACCAAUGAGUUCUCCUCUUGCUUUAGCUUCACUCGCACAGUAUCACGAAUCACUUUUUCAUAAAUAACGCAUCAUUCCACUAUAUAUUCCAACUAAAACACGCUUAACUCAGGAUUUUUUUCUUGAAGAAUGUGAGCCCAUACAAAACUUGUAAUGCCCUGAUCUCCCAAGGCUAAUGGCCUCCCAGACCCUGUCACUCGGUCCGUGGGCCCAUCCCUUGUGACCGGCGGUGAGAUAAAUUUUUUGGAGGCUUAUAACUCUUGUUUACUGACCAUGUAAUCACAACAUGAUCUCUAUAUGUGCUUUAGUCUCAUUCGCACGAUAUCGUGAAUCCUUUCCUGAUAUGUUACUCAUCCUUCCUGAUAGGCCAUGAAUUAUACCCACUUUUAGCCAUGGUUUAUAAGUGUUUUAAUAUAUAUUUACUACUAUAUAGGAGUCUAUUUAGAGUAUUUACAGGUUCAAGGACGAUUUGGAGGAAAACGAUAAUUUUGAUGUCUUUUGGAGCUUUUUUUGAGUGUAUACCUGCACAGACACAUCAGAUGUUUAGCUAUGGAUGGAGGACCUUCCCACUUUUAGAUGGAGCCCAUAUUUUGACACUAGAUAGAUAUUUUAGUUAGAUUUCCAAUGCCACCGGUUUGAGGUCAAUCAGCAUCCUAUAGCAGACGUUAUGCCUGUUUUACUGAAGAGUGGUCAAUCUGCCUCGCGAGAGGAAGCUGCCGAGGAGAUGAGGGACUGUCGAUCCAUGGUGCACCCUUGCCAUCGAUCGACAGUGAUGCCAGAACGUGGGCCAAGCAUUAUUUCAAGACCGACUGAAGUCCAGAAGCCACACAAAGUUACCAAAAUACCCAUAGACGACCAGAAACCCUAUUUAUGUUAUUUAUAAGCCAUUGUUGACGGCUACACUAUCUAAGCUUUCUUUAAUUCAUAGUUCCAGGUUAGGUGAGAAAGGAGGAACUCCUUCAGAGUCUUCCUGGAACUCCUUUGGUUUUUAUAUUUUAUUCUAUAGCAAUUUCAUCUAUUCAUCUAUGAUUUCUGUGAUAAACUUCAUGCUUGAAUAUAUUCACCUAUUAGGUUUAGGGUUCAAAUAUGUUAUGAGGGAUUAGCUCCAACUAUAGAUUUCUAAGUUGUGAUAUUCAUCUUUAGGAUUGUCAUUAUUGCCUGUUUCUAGAUUAGCUACCUAGAACUUUCCCUAGGAGUUGUAGACAUAAACGAUAGCUUGCAUCUCACCAUGAAUCCAUCCUAACUGAGCUAAGAUUGCUAGAGUAAGGCGAGAGCUGAUCUAGGAAGCUUAGUGAGCACAUUCAACCCGUGCAUUAACGCUUGACCAAAAGCAUCGAUCGAUAUUCUAAUCGAAUAAUCGGUUGACGUUUCAACAAGUGUAUCGAUCAGUAUUCCUUUAGAAUCAUCAAUCAACACUGGUCAAUAGACAAACCUAGAAAGCGAGGGCCGAAUGGUUUGUUUAUAAGUGUUGAGCUAUAUAAUAUCAUGCAUACAACUUGCCAGGCAUCUGUAGGAUCAUAAUCCUGAUUUCCUGAAUAGAAACCCUAGAUCUAGAACCCCAUCCUUCCAUCAAACAACUCAAUCAAUCAACCGAGCAACUAUCUUGCUCACAAACCUGUCUUUUACAUUUAAUCAUAAUCAACCUAGCUUAAUCAUAUAACUAUUAGAUUUUUUGUGUGCCCUAGCUCCCUGUGAAUUUGAUAUCUAAGUACUACAACUCGACCUCUUAUUUGAGAGAGUAUAAAUCACUCCUUAGGGUAAUAUGAGUGAGAUCAAAUUUGGUGCCAUUGCCGGGGAGCUUUGAUCGCCAUUAGAUCUUAUUUAGUUAGAUUUAGUCUAGGUUAUACUACUGUUCUAAAACUGAUAAAAAAUUCUUCUGUUUUAGGUACAUACAUCUUAGUACCGGGAACAACAAUGAAGAGAAAAUUUCUAGGUCCUUCAAAGAAAGAGCCUGCUGAUUGGCGCACGAUCCGUAAGUCUACGAGGGAAGCAUCGAUCGACACCCUCCAAGCAACAUCGAUCGACAGCGUGAACCAGUAAUCAAUCGACAGCAACACAACGCCAUCGAUCGACUUUACUUGCAAGAAGGCAGAGAAGGUAGAGAUACUCAUUGCUGAGAGGGAUGACUUUGAUCUGAAACCUACAUAUAUCAAGCAUAUGCGUCAGCAUCCCUUUCAUGGCUUUCCUCACGAACAACCAAUGGAUCAUAUCAACAUGUUUUAGGAAUUGGUAUUGUUUAUCUUCAAUGAAGUCCACGAAGACCACCACUUCUGCAAAAUCUUCCCAUACACCCUAGCUGGAGAUGCAACUCACUGGUUCAAUAAUCUACCACCAAGAUCUCUCACUACCUCGAAUGACAUGAGAGAUGCCUUCCUCAACAAAUUUUUCUAUGAUGCUGCAGCAAAUCUAGAGAUUGAGAUGGAAUCUAUAAGGAGAUAUAUGAUAGAGGGUGAUGAACAACAUGUAUAUGGAGAGCUGAGCUGAGUAGAAGAAGCUGACAUUAAUGGUACGACCUCAACGUCUACCGACAACAUGACUUCAACGUCGAUCGACGGUACAACCUCAACGUCGACCAAUGACACGACCUCAACGUCGAUCGAUGGUACGAACUCCGAAAUGAUCGACAACACCUCAGCAGCGAUCGACAUAGACUUUUGUCAUCGAUCGAUACCACUCGAAAUCCCUGAAAGAUCGAGUUGUCCUCAGGACAUUGAAGACUCGACCCAUAAGAGCACUGAUGUAUCAAGUAUUUCUCCUGCCCCAGAUGUAGAAAAAGAAAUCAUCACAUAAGAUUUCUUGGAGCUAGAAGAGUUCUUGGAGUUUGAGGAUGGAGAAAAACUUGAAGACUUGGAUUCGAGUAGAGAAGUCACUAUGGAAGACUUCUUAGAGCUGGAGGAGUGGCUUGAAGAUAUGAAUCAUAAUUCGAAGAAGAAGCUUGAUGACGAUCAGCAUACUUCGAGAGGAGAUCUGGAAACUUCACCAAAGGCUAGCAUCAAUCGACACCAACCUGAUGAGAUCGAUCGACAACCACCCCACAUCAUCGAUCAACGCCCACCCUAUAUCAUCGAUCGACAAUCAGCAGAUAGCAUUGAUUUACACCCACACUCCAUCAUCGAUCGACACCCACCCGAUUGCAUCGAUCGACACCCAUGGUUGGAUGAACUGCCAGGAUACAUAGUCGAGCUGGAACAAGUUGAGGAAAGGAUGUACAUGUCAAAGGUCUCAUACCCUGCUGUCCACGAACAUCAGAGACCACAUAUCUGUGCAGAAGAAGCUACAUGGUUUCACAAGAGAGUGAAAAGGAUACAUGACCCUGUGAUGAUUGUGGUUCCUUGCGCAGUAUUUUAAGUUGAAUUUCCUAUCCUACCAGAUAAAGGUGCGCAUCUGAGUUCUUACGUUGAGGUGUUGGAUGAUCAUCUACACGUAGAAGCUUCUUAGAGAGUGUUACGAUUUAUAGAUGAAGUCGAUAAGGGCCCAACAGAAGGAACAUCAAUCGACACCAACAGGAUACCAUCGAACGACACCAAAAAACCAGUAUCGAUCGACACUACCACUUCUCCAUCGAUCGACAUUGGGCGCAUACCAGAGAAGGAGUUCGAUGUAUGUGGAAAUCUUUUUGAUGGAGAAACCACCACGCGAUCAGAAAAGUCUAGGGGAAAGAAGAUGAGGAAUUGGAAGAAGAGGAAAAGGAACAAGAGAGGUUCUCAGUUAUCAUUGAUUCCUCACUCCUCAGAUGGUGUCAGGAAAUCCAGAGUAUGCAGCAAAUGCUUCUCACAACCAUUUGAAAAGCUUCAAGCAUUCCUUAUUGCUGAGAUGAUAGACAAAGGAGAAGAGUCUAUGGAGGAGGCUUUCACACAAGAAUGAUAAAGCUUCAGAGAGCAGAUAUUGAGACUUGUUAUGGAGAAUGUUCUCAUUCUCAUCCGGACUAAAUCACAUCUCCAAAGUCAAACUAAAUGACUAUAACAAAGCACUGAGUGGGAGGCAACCCACUAUUAGGUAAUUUCAUUCAGUUUAUGUUAGAUUGUUACUGAUUUUUGUUUUUAUUUUUAUGCUGGUAAAAAAAAAAAGUGAACAGUAACGACGGUACAGUGGCAGCGCCGAACGACACUGUAGCAAGAAAAAUCGAGCUACACUGUAGCAGAAAAUCGGGAGUUACUGUAACAGCGAUAAUGUAGCAGAGCUACGGUAGCAGUCACUGUUCAUUAGAAAAAAAUAUAAUUGGUUUUAUUAUUUAUUUAUUACUGACUUUUAGUGUUUUAUUUUUGUUAGGUAAAAGGAAAUAGAUACGAGGAAGACGAGUUCUGCACCAGCAUCGAUUGACAACCGGCCGGUGUCGCACGACAGAGCAUCACAAAUAUUGAUCGCCACUUAACUGUGUUGAUCGAUACUCACAUCAAUGGCAUGUAUGCUCGCGAAACCUUUUUAAUAUUGUCCUUAUGAUUUAUUUUCCCACCAAUCUUAGACUGUAUAACAUUGGUCACAGUGUUGUUUAAGUCUGGGGGAGGUUCUACUAAUAUUGUGUUUUAUGAUGAGUCUUAAAAAAACAGAUCCGAGUAGACGAUUCCUCAGCACAUCGACCGAUGAGACCAGCUAAAUAUCGAUCGACAGCACUUCAGAUCCAACGAUCGAUUGUCUCUUCAUUGUGUUGAAUGAUUGCUCUAGCCAUCGACCAAUGAGACCAUCUUGCUAUCAUUCGACAGCACUUCAACAACAUCGAUGGAUUGUCACUUCAUUGUGUUGAUCGACAUUGACAUCAGCGAGCAGGUUAUCGUUCUUACUUGUUAAAUUGUGUAUUUAUGUUUAUGUUAUUACUAUAACUCCGACUGAAUAUACACUGGGGACAUUGUAGUUUAAGUCUGGGGGAAAAUUUACUAAUAUUAAGUUUACUUCAUGAGUCUUAUUAAAAUGUUUUCAAAAAAAAAAAUUUAUUGAGUCAAGAAGGGGACAAUGAACUUAUUGAUUUUGCUUAUUAUCUAACCACAUCAUUCUAGAGUUACUAGUUGCAGAUAACACUAAAGAUACCAAAGUGGAUCAACCUGUCAACUAUGUUACACUUGCUGAGAAUGUUUCAAGGAACGAAAGCUGACCUCCAACCUAAUUGAGCUCAACUCUGCUUGUCUUGGGGCUUGGUAUACAUGGGAUCGGAUUAUUCAAAAAAUAUCUGGAAGGUAAAGCCUUGUGUAGAUUUAUCACCCUCUCUCUCUAUUUCAAAAUUUAGAUUAUAAAGAAAAAUUCUAUAGGUAAAUAUAAUUACAGAUAAUAAUUUAGGAAAAUAAUUCGAACCGGACUUGGUGGCUAUAACCAUUAAGGCUUGAUUCAUAAGAAUUCUAUAGGUAAAGAAUUCAAACAGGACUUGGUGGCUACAACCAUUAAGGCUUGAUUCAUAAGAAUUCUAUAGGUAAAUGAUUAGAACAUGACUUGGUGGCUACAACUAUUAAGGCUUGAUUCACAAAUAAUCCUAGGAUAUAGGUCAAAAAGAAGUGAACAGGAUUUGGUGGCCAAAACCAUUAAAGCUUGAUUCAUGGAAACCUGUCCAAUCUUGGUCAAUGAUCUUGCAAUAUAAGCAGACUUUGACUGAGAGAGAAAUUAGUAGAGAGAGGAAAAUAACUCUUAUUUACCUGCAGGUCCAGAUACUUGUUUGAGCAUCCUUGCAUCUUGUGAUCGAUACUCCCAAAGUAAAGCCUACACUUUUAUUUAUGUAAGAAUUGAGGUUGAUAGAGUGGAUUGCCAGACAUGAUUUGCUAAGUUGUUGACUAGAUGAAUUUGGUUGCUAAUUGGUAUAAUGUGAUUCUGAGAUUAGGAUUUCCUAAGGUGAUGAUUCUGAGUUUUAAAUUUGUGAGUCCCUGCUGUUUUCAAAUCUCUUUUAGAGAGAAUGCAUGUAUGUUUUGCUGGAGGACAAGCGAAAGAGUAAGUCUGGGGGAGUUGAUAGGCCAUGGAUUUUACCCACUCAUAGCCAUAGUUUAUAAGUGUUUUAAUAUAUAUAUUUACUACUAUAUAAAGUCUAUUAGAGUAUUUACAGGUUCAAGGAUGAUUUGGAGGAAAGUGGUGAUAUUGGUGUCUUUUGGAGCCUUUUUGAGUGUAGAGCUGGACAGACGCGUCAGAUUUUUAGCUAUGGAUAGAAACUUUCACACCGUUAUAUUGAGCCCAUUUUGGUUCACUAGUUAGAGAUUUGAGUUAGCUUUACAAUUCCACCGAUUUGAGGUGAAUCAGCAUCCUAUAACAGAAGUUAUGCCCGUUUUACUGAAGAGUGGUCAGUCUGCCUCGCGAGAGCAAGCUAUUGAGGAGAUGAAGGACUGUCGAUCGAUGGUGCACCCUUGCCAUCGAUCGACGGUGAUGCCAGAACGUGGGCCAAGCAUUAUUUCAAGACCGACUGAAGCCCAAAAGCCACACAAAGUUACCAAAAUACCCAUAAACGAUCAGAAACCCUAUUUAUGUUAUUUAUAAGCCAUUGUUGACGGCUACGCUAUCUAAGCUUUCUUUAAUUCAUAGUUCUAGGUUAGGAAAGAAAGGAGGAACUCCUUCAGAGUCUUCCUGGAACUUCUUUGGUUUUUAUAUUUUAUUUUAUUGCAAUUUGAUAUAUUCAUCUAUGAUUUCUGUGACAAACUUCGUGCUUGAAUAGAUUCACCUGUUAGGUUUAGGGUUUAAAUAGGUUAUGAGGGAUUAGCCUCAACUAUAGAUUGCUAAGUUGUGAUAUUCAUGUUUAGGAUUGUUAUUAAUGCCUGUUUCUAUAUUAGCUACCUAGAACUUUUCCUAGGAGUUGUAGACAGAAGCGAUAGCUUGCAUAUCACCCUGAAUCCAUCCUAACUGAGCUAAGAUUGCUAGAGUAAGACGAGAGCUGAUCUAGGAAGCUUAGUGAGCACAUUCAACACGUGCAUUGACGCUUGACCAAAAGCAUCGAUCGAUAUUCUAAUCGAAUAAUCGGUCGACGUUUCAACAAGUGUAUCGAUCGGUAUUCCUAUAGAAUCAUCGAACGCCACUGUUCAAUAGACAAACCUAGAAAGCGAGAUCCUAAUGGUUUGUUUAUAAGUGUUGAGCUCUAUAAUAUCAUGCAUACAACUUGUUAGGCAUCUGUAGGAUUAUAAUCAUGAUUUCCUGAAUAGAAACCCUAGAUCUAGCAACCAUGCUUUCAUCAAAAAAACUUAAUCAAUCAACCGAGCAACUACCUUGCUCACAAACCUGUCUUUUACAUUUAAUCAUAAUCAACCUAGCUUAAUCAUGUAACUAUUAGAUCUUUUCUGUGCCCUAGCUUCCUGUGAAUUCGAUCCCUAAGUACUACAACUCGACCUCUUAUUUGAGAGAGUAUAAAUCACUUCUUAGGGUAAUUUGAGUGAUAUCAAUUCCACAACUCUACAUCAAGCACACUCAAUUCUGGAAUUGUUUUGGAAGACCUAAAAGAUAAAUAUACUUUGAUGAUGUAGUCAAAUUAUUGUUUUUAUAACCUUUUCAAACGUGUACCACAAACCGGGAUAUUACAAACAUUUUUUUUUGUAACAGCAACAAUAUGUUCUUACUUCUUUUUGGGCCAGAAUGGGCCAGCUCUUUAGUCCAAUGCCCUUGAAGAAUGCCACUGGACUGCGAUUACUUCUUGAAUCUCAUUAUGCUAAUACACCGUGAUUACUAUACGGUUGAUGUAUCUACGAAUCUUGCAAGGAAACUGCAUUUUACAUUGAAUACUAUGAUAAAGACCCGCGCUUUGUGCAGAUUAAAUUAUAUUAUUAAAAAAUUAAACAUAUUGUAUUGACAAAUUUAAGAUUUAUAUAUGUUCAAAUUGUUUUUAUAUGUAUACAAUUUUUGAUUGUUUAUAUAAUCAUCUAUAUGUUGGGCCGACACAUUUGGAUAUAUUUUUUAGUAAUUUAUCAGUAAAUAAAAUUUAUAUAUUUUCGAUUUUGAAGUUACACUAAUUUCAGAAUAUCAUAUUUUUACUUUCAUUUUGACAUAAAAUAGAAAAUUAAAGUAUUAAAAAGAUAAUUACAAAUUGGGUUAGGCUUAUAAUUUGAAGUAUAAUUUGGUUAUGGGCCUAAUAGAACAUAAAAUUUUACAGUCCGACUAUUAUUAUACUAAAGGCCUAAAUAUAGAAAGAUGAUGGUAUUAUGGAAGUUAGGUUAACGUGAUAUAUAUCACUAAUUACUAAGAAAUGUCAUUAUUAAUGCUUUCCUAGACUACGAAAAACAAUUAGACAGGUGCCAAAGCUUUUUCUUAAUCUUCAAUAUAAAUUUCACAAUUUAAGUUCUAAAGAAUUGUGUAGCAAGGAGAAAUAUUUUAUAUAUAAGUUUAUCUAGUAAUAACAAAACAACUUAAUUUUUAUAUUACUCUUUAUAUAAAUUUCUGUAGACGAGGAAGGCUUAAGAACUGAACAAUAUUCUUCUUUUUUUUUUCUUUUAUUAACAAAACAAUUUUGAAUAGAUGUGUCUCUUUGCUAUUAAUAAAAAAAUCAACACUUAAAAAAAUCAUUACUAAAAGCAUGCAAUAUUUCUGUCAUAAUAUAUAGCAAACUUUGAUUUAAAUUGCUGUCCAAAUAAUACGGACUAAGAAUAUAUCUUACACUUUGUUAAAAAAAUUAUAAUGUUGGAUCACAAUAUAAAUCAAAUUUGAGCCAUUUAAAGAAAGUCUCAUAAAAUGAGAUCGCCGAGUAUUAAUUUAAUGAGAUCACUGAGUAUUAAGUUUAUCAUAUCAUAUACAUUUAUGUUUGAAUUAAUAUAAGUUUUCCUGACAAUGGAUUUUGGACUUACGAGCCACGUAAGCCAAAUUGAUAUCUUAAUUAAAUGACACCUAAGACUUUUUUUUUUAAUUAAUACAAACUUAAGAUUAUAACUUCUUAAAUGUUUAUCUAUUAAUAUAUAGGAGAUGAUUGAGAUGUUUAAUGAUUUGGGUUAAAAAUAAUUUGAUGAAAACUUUCAAUUUAAAUAUGCAAAUUGAAAUCACAUUGUCUUACAUGAAACUUUUGUAUGUUUUAACUAAAUUUAUUGUAACUUUUCUAAUUGAUCGAAAUCAUCUUUAAACUUUAUUUGAAAAUAAAUUAUUUUGAAGCUUCCUAAAUAUAAAAGAUUAGAUACACCUUUUAAAAUUUAACUUGGUUUUAUGAUUGUCUGGUUUUAAAUUAAAUAAGUUUUAAAUGAAAAACAUUUAUUUAAAUUACAUUUUUCUAAUUCUGGAAAGUUAAAAUAUACAUGAAUAAAUGAGUCAAAAAAACAGGUAAAUCAUAACUUAACACUGAUCCAAUAUAUAGAAACCCUAAAAUAUGGGCUUAAUAAAAGAAGAAGCUAAAAUGUAUGAAUCAAAUUAUGGGGAACAAAUUGAAUUAGCCACUAUAUAUUUUUUCACAUGAUCCAAAAAGAAUCUCAGAAGCACUAAUCAGACAUCGGACGAAGGAAAUAAUAUCCAAAAAAGCGUUUUUUUUUCCUGGUUUGAUGUACGUGACGAAAGCUUUUUUUAUUCAAACUAGAAUAAUAAAGUUAUGGAAAACAUAUGGAAUAUUUUUUUUUGACAAUAAAACAUAUGGAAUAUUAAAUGGUCAAAUAUUAAAUCCACUAAAAGAAGUUUUUUUCUGAAGUAUUUUCAUGUCUUUCUCCAGCAUGAGGUUAUGAUGGCAAGACGUGGAUUCUUUUCGGAAAGCCUUAUUUAACGUACUAUAUAAUUAGUCUAUUAUAGACGAUAAAGGUUACUAAUUUAUUAUACUUUAUUGGAAUAUUUAAUUAACACUUCCAAAAACUACGAACUUUCGGGCCGAUCACUGAUAGAUGCUUUGAGGUUCUCUUUAUUCGAUGGUUAGGUAAAUUAGGGCUGGGUUUUUGUACGCGAAACCCGAUUAUUUGAACUGGAUUCGACUAAAAAUAGACUAAUUCAAAUCGGUUUUGAUAUCGAGUUUUAUCUGAUGGGUAUUGUCAUGAAUACUUGUUGGUAUCAGUUUGGUUCCGGUAUUACCAGGAAUCGAUCGGAUACUCUUUUAAAUCAAAAUUCAUAUUUUAAAAUAGAUAUUGCACGUUUUAAGACUCUCUAAUCCAAGUUGAUAAAAGCAAAUUUUCACUCGUAUUACCACUGACCACUUAAACUGUUUGGAACUUCUUUCACUUUAUAGAUAUAUAUACCUUUCUUAUUCCAAAAAAAAAAAGAAAAAUAAUGAAAAUAGAUAAAUAUAUUAUUUUUGGGUUUACUUGAACCCACCUGGAUCAGAAUCGAAAAUCUACCAAGUCCUACAUAGGUACAAUUUUACCCAUUUCACCAGAACCAAUCAGAUACUUCUUAAAACUAACCUGAAAAUCCAAAAUCCUAGUCUUAGGCCAAAUAAUUAGAAUGUUUUAUACUAGAUAUAAACAGGCCCGGCUCAAAAGAAUUUUGGGCCCUUGGCAAAAUAAUCAAAAAUUUUUUUUUUUACAUAAUUAUAUGAUAACUUAAAAAUUUCGGGCCUUAUCUUCAAUUUUUUUAAAAAUAUUGGGCCCCUUUUCAAUACUAUUUAUGCAAAAAAUCUUUUGGGCCCUAGGCCAAUGCCCCUUUGCCCACCCUCCUGAGCCGGGCCUGUAUGCGUGUCACACGCGCUUGUCCUUCGGUAUCCCACUUUCUCUUUGCUGAUGAUAGUCUUUUCUUCUGUAAGGCGGAGCCCCGUGAAUGUGAAGAAGUAAUGAAAGUAGUCAGGACAUAUGGUAAAGCAUCUGGCCAAUGUAUUAACUUUGACAAAUCUUCCUUACUCUUUGGUAAGAGGAUUAAUGCAACUACUCGGCAAGAGAUUAAAGAUGUACUCGGCAUACAUAAUGAUGGUGGGAUGGGAAAGUACUUGGGAAUUCCAGAGGAUAUUAGUGGCUCUAAAUGCAAACUCUUUGCAUUCCUAAAGGAUAACCUGAUGCAUAGAGUAAAUGGAUGGACAGGUAGAUGGCUCUCAAAAGGGGGGAAGGAGGUAAUGAUCAAAUCCAUUUUGCUCGCUCUUCUGACAUACGUUAUGUCGACGUUUCUGCUCCAAUUGGAGAUUUGCGAAAACCUCGCUAGUGCCAUUGCAAAAUUUUGGUGGAGUUCGAAUCCACCAAAAAGAGGAAUACACUGGACGAAAUGGGAAAAAGUUUGUCUACCAAAAGAAGAGGGCGGGAUUGGCUUCCGUUUAAUCCAUAAGUUUAAUCUAGCACUAUUGGCAAAUCAAUUAUGGAGAUUGAUUCAGUACCAUGAUUCACUGGUUGCCCGAGUCUUGAGGGGCAUAUACUAUAGGAUGACCUCGCCAUUAGGAGCAAUUUCUUCAAGUAGUCCAUCAUAUGUGUGGACAAGCAUUUACGCCGCAAGGAAGCUUUUUCUUCUGGGGAUCAGACAGAAGAUUCAUUCUGGUUAUGAAGUCAAAGUGUGGGAGGAUCCGUGGAUUCCAACGAUACCUGCUAGACCAGCUACACCUGUAGCACCUGUGAUGCACCCGAAUAUGAGAGUGAGUGAUCUCAUUAACCAAGAUUUGAAGGAAUGGGACGUAGGGUUACUGGAGGCUUAUGUCCACUCCGAUGACAUAUCUCUCAUACGUAGUAUGGCCAUAAGCUCUACUCAUCGCCGUGAUACUUUCUGCUGGAACUACACGAAGAAUGGCCAGUAUACAGUUAAAUCUGGGUAUUGGGUUGCUCAAAACCUGUUGAAGCCAGAAGAGGAAAAAGAAAUAUUGGAACCAAGUAUCACUACACUUCAGGCCUUUGCUUGGAAGUUAAAAGCACCAAGGAAGAUGUGCCAUCUUAUAUGGCAAUUGAUAACGGGUCAGGUGGCAGUAACGAGGAACCUAGUAAGGCGGAAUAUGAGGUGCGAUAAUUAUUGCCCAAGGUGUGGAGAAUUAGAAGAAUCUGUAACACAUGCAAUAUUUGAAUGCCCUCCAGCACUCCAAGUAUGGUCCCUAUCAGCAACUCCUACAAGCCCACGUAUAUUUCCAGUGGCAAGCGUCUACACGAACAUGGACUAUCUAUUCUGGAGGAAGAAUGAAAUCUUAUAACCAGACCAAGACAGGGAUCCUUAUCCCUGGAUAAUAUGGUAUAUUUGGAAGGCUCGUAAUGAUAAACUUUUCAGGGGAAUAGACAGAGACCAAUUGGAACUAGUUCGAUAUGCAGAAAGUGAAUGUCAAGCCUGGUUUAAUGCAAACGACAUAAUACCACCAGUAGUUCAGGUCAUCAAUAAUGAGGAAAGCCAAGCCUUAAGCUUGGGUAAUAUUUGCCUAUUAGAUGGAUCUUGGACAGCUUCUGAUCGCUUUAGUGGAUGUGGAUGGGUCUGAAUAGAUAGCGGGGAGAACACACAACUUAUGGGAACACGGAAUUUCAUGAGAUGUGAAUCAGCAUUGCAUUCGGAGGUAGAAGCACUGCGAUGGGCGAUGGAGAAUAUGCUUCAACACUCGCCAUGCCAGAGCUUUGGAACAGAUUGCAAGGAGCUGAUAGCAAUGAUAAAGGAACCCCAAGAGUGGCCAAGUUUCGCGACAGAACGCAAGGAGCUGAUAGAAAUGAUAAAUGAACCCCAAGAGUGGCCAAGUUUCGCGACAGAAUUGGAGAAGAUAGAGACGCUGCAGAUUUGCUUCCCGGACUUCAAAAUCACCCAUGUACCACGAGUGCGCAACCAGUUUUCUGAUUUUUUGGUUAAAACUGCUAGGACCUUUCGUAGAGAGUUACUUUUCAUUGGUUGUUCUAUUCUGGUCUGGUUACCCAGACCACCUCAAAUAAAUGAAUUUAACAGUUCAACCAAAAAUAUAUAUUAAGUAUUUGUAUUUUUUGUAAACAAACUUAUUUUUUUGUUCUCACAAAACAACCGAAUCAAUUUAGUUAUUUUUGGUUAGUUAUAUAUAUGCCAAAGAACAAACUACAAACCCAUAGAUUUAAUUAUAAUCGGAACUAGAUUUCGACCUGCGCUUAGAAAGCGCGGGUUUAUUUUUGAAAUUAAAUAAAUUGUUCUUAUAUAAUUUCUAUAUUAGAUAAUGUAUAGGUUUGGAUACAUUCACCGGGGUGCACUGAACCGUACCAAACUGAAAAAAAAAAUUAAGCUGAAUUUCAUAAAUAACUGAGCAUAUCCUAUAUCUUUAGAACCGAAAAAUAGAAACCGAACUGAGAACCAAAUGAGUACAUAAACUUUUAAAAUACAAAUUAUAUACCUACAGAUAUUAAUUAUAUUUAAUUUAUAAAUAACCAAAUAUCCUAAAAAUACUAUUUAUAAACCAAAUUAUGCAAAAAAAAAAAAAUUAGUGACUCGAAUAUUUUUUAUUCGAAUAAUUAAUAGUUAAUUAUUUAUCCUAUAUUUUUUUUUGCAAACAGCCUAAACUACCCGAUUAAAGCGCAAUAUAUUUUACAUUUGUGAAAAUUCAAUAUAACGUAUCAUAUGCAUUGUUAGAAUUUGUAAAGUAAAUAAACAUGUUCUAUUUAAACAAAUAUUUUUUUUUACUAAUUACAUUUAAAUCUCCAACCCGUUUAGACAAUUUGAUAUUUUUUUUAUGAUAAUAUUAAUCACUUAGUUCAUAUAUAAGAAUGUAAAAUCAAAUCUUAAUAAUUGAUUGCAUGUAAUUAAUUAAAUUAAUGUUUCAUAGUUGAAUAGUUGACAUUAAGGUUUUUAGUUUCCAAUUCACAUAAAAAUGAAAAAA
Molecule: long non-coding RNA, 46955 nt
Filed under: Brassica napus (rape)
Lineage: Eukaryota; Viridiplantae; Streptophyta; Magnoliopsida; Brassicales; Brassicaceae
Description: long non-coding RNA (BNAP_LNC020396)
Source: RNAcentral